RNAcentral lists this long non-coding RNA (49614 nucleotides) under Erythranthe guttata (spotted monkey flower). RNAcentral's name for it is "long non-coding RNA (EGUT_LNC003294)". The stretch from base 43818 to 43890 matches the Rfam family "tRNA". Lineage: Eukaryota; Viridiplantae; Streptophyta; Magnoliopsida; Lamiales; Phrymaceae. The record is from RNAcentral.
UAUAUAAAACUAAGUCUACAACCAUCCAACAAAUUCUAUAUUUCUAUUUAUUAUUCAAGAUAACUGAAUUAACGAAUCAUGAAAAUUGGCCAGGGACGAAGAAAUAAAAAAAAAAAAAAACCCAACAACAUCAAGAAGUAUUUGAAUAAUUAAAAAAAAUAGUAUUGCAAAUUGCAUUUCACACCCAAAAUUUACUCUAAUUGCAAAUUGGCGACUUGCAUCCUAAUACUUCAAAAUUAGCAAAGUCCACUAGCAAAUGGUAUUUCUCAUAGCAAACUACAACAUGCAUUAAAUUCUUGUGAGAUUUUAAUCAAAAUUCAGUAUAUUGCGAUAGUUUCACUUUGAAAGAAAUUUUUAUGUUUUAUUGUAUAUUAUGGUUUUAAUUUCAUACUUUUACAUUAUUAUUAUUAUACUUAUAAGAUAGAUAUUUGUUUUUACUAAUUAUCAUAUUUUAUUCAUUUAUUAAUUAAAACUAAAAUUACAAUUUAAUAUUUUUUAUCUUUUUUUAAUUUUCAAAAUUAAUUCUAAGAAAAUAUAAUACUCCAAAAAUAAAAUUACAUUAUUUAUUUAUUUGUUUACUUGUUUAUUUAUAUUUUGUAGGAUGCAUCUACUUACUAUAGUCGAUUUUUUUUAUAUUCAAUUGUUGAUUAAAAAUCUCAUUGCAUUCUAAACGUAAGGUUCUAUAUUAUUUUAAAUAUAUUAACUACAUUAUUUAUAAAAAAAAUGAAACAAUUUGAAAAUAAUUAUCUCUAAAAAAGUGAAAUAUUUUUGGGAACUCUACAUACAGAUUUAAAACCUUUUAAAUUAGAAUGGUUAUUUGGGUCAUUUUUCACCGCUAAAAACUAUUUUGUACAACGCCUUAUUCUGUUUUAAUCUAUUUAACUUUCAUCAUCAAUGAUUUUUUAUUCUCUAAAAUAACAAUGUUCCACAUGUUUCGGUUUAAUUUCUUGUAAUAUAUUAUGUUACUUUAUGGAAAAUUGAGAUUUUUGAAUUAUUUCGUAUAUUACACUUGAAUCAAUAUUAAGUUUUUGAAAUUAUAUAUUUUUUACUGUACAGUAAAACACAUACAUAAAUCAUCACUUGUGUUUUGAAAUUUUUGAGAUUUUUGAAUUAUUUUGUACAUUACACUUGAAUUAAUAUUAAGUUUUUGAAAUUAUAUAUUUUUUUACUGUUCUAUAAAACACAUACAUAAAUCAUCAAUUGUGUUUUGAAAAUUUUAAUUCAAAUAAAAUAAUUAAAAAAUGUGAAGUAGAAAAUAAAAUAUAAACAAGAAAAGAUAUUUUUUUAAUGUUCAAAUAUUUUGCUAUAUUGAUUUUUUGGUUAAAGUCUCACAAAACAUUAUGUAGGGUGCAUGCAUUCUGCUAUGAUGUAUAUAAUUUGUGGGUGAACUUCGUUAAUUUUAAAAUUUUCGAGUUCAAAAUGUCAAUUAGUUUCAGUUUUGAUGUGCAAAACGCAAUUCACUCGACUAUAAGGAAGAAAUGCAUGAAUUAUAUACUUAGUUCCAAUAAAAUAAAUGCCAAAAACAUAACUGAGAAGCAAGUAAAUGUCAUUCAAAAUUUUGAUAACAACAAUGAUAUAUGAGUAAAAAUUGUAAUAAUUGAACGAAAAGAUAAGAAAAUAAAAGGGUCAUAAAUAUACAUAGGUAAAAUUGUACGAAAUUGUUUAUUUAUUUUACUAUUAAUUAAUAAAUAAUUAUGAAUUAUAUUCUAUUCCAAAUAAUUAUCAAUGUCACAAAAUAUUACUCUAAUAACAAUAUAACUAUCAUAUAUAGACUAUGGUAUACAAAAAAAAAAAAAAUUAAUACAACGCGUGCAACGCAGGCGCACCUUUCUAGUAUAUAUAUAUAUAUAUAUAUAUAUAUAUAGAGAGAGAGAUAUUGUUCUAACUUUCAUGAUUUUCAAUAAUUAAUAUUGAGUAAUAUUAAUUACAUUAUCUAAAGAUUAAUUUCAUUUAUUUACUUGAUCAUAAUCAUGAAGUAAAGUGAAUAAAAAUUGUCUUGAUUAAAUGGUUAAAGUUCAAAAGAUGAGCGCUCGAUGUGAUCGAGUGAUAGGACUAGUUUGGGUUUAGGUGUCCACAAAUAUUACUUUUGGGGACAUUUAGAUAUUAGUCAAAUUAGUUGACCCAAAAUCAAAAUAAUAAAAUAUUCGGCUCAAACCAAAUAUUUAAUUAUUUGGCCCAUGACCAAUUAAUUUUCCUACGUUUUGAAAUAUGUGAAAAGAAUGGACACAACCUUCUACUUCUUCUUCCAACCAUUGCAACCCUCUAUGAAUGGAUUGCUACCGCCUAUAAAUAAAGGCAGAAUCUGGCCAAUUCUAUACGGAAUAUAAUCGGCCAUGACGAGAUAGUUCUUCAUAAUCUUUUUUCCCUUCGUCAAAGUUUCGUUUGUUGUUCAAGUUCGCUGUUGGUCGAAUAUUCGUGCAAAUAUUUGACAACCGAUCGUUGUACAUUGGGAGACUACCGGGGAGAAACUGUGCACCGUUCACAACCCGGAAAUAUUGGCUUAAGGAAAUUGCCUUGGCAAGCCUCGAUCGUUCUUUGUGUUUUCACAACUCCUCUUCUCGACAAACAAGUAUUUUCGUUUGUUUAUGCAGAUUGUUAUAUAAAUAUAUAUAUAUAUAUAUAUAUAUAUAUAUAUAUAUAUAUAUAUAUAUAUAUAUAUAUAUAUAUAUAUAUAUACCAACAAUCUUAAGACAAUAUAAAGUUUUGUUUGUCCAAACUUUUGUUAAAAGUUUGAAUCUGGAAUCUGUGUUUCUAUUAAAAAUCAACAUGUGUUAUUAAAUUAUACGCAAAUGUUAAUAUUUGCGAACAAGUUGUUUAAAGGUAUGUUAUAAUCAUUUACUAUUUUAAUUAAGGGGAAAUGAGUGAUAACCCCCUAGUUUUGAAAAUAUAUAUAAGGAGGCUCAAAAAAUUUUUGUGCUCUAAUAAAAAACACAAGUUCUGAUCUUAAUUAGUGAGACCCCCCUAGACAACUUGAAGUACCUAUUUUACCCCUUUUAGUUUUAAUUCAAUAUAUGCCCUAACCCUUCUAAUCUUCUCUCUCCAACUCACUGUUGGAGUAGGUGACCAACAAGCCAACUUGUGGCUGUGGUCUUUCCUUUUAUCUUGUAAUAAAACAAUCGUUUUUCAUUCGUAAUAAUAAAACAUUUCAUUUGGCAUUCUAUAUCUGUUAUCCCAUGCAAGCAGCAUAGAUAAAGUCCUAACGAGUUACUCUAUUACUGUGAGUUGAUCUAGUAGAAUCGUGAGAUAACUCAACAAUGUAAUGUAACUGUUAAACCUUGUUCCUAGUCGAUGGGUUACGCCAAUAAUGAGGAUACCGGCCUUUCCCUUUUGAGACUAGCACUUAGUGUAUGUGUACUGCGUCUCAUCAGUCCUCGGUGUUGUGACAUCGGCAUACUUGAGUGGGUGCUCAUACUAGAUGAGUUCACUGAACUCCCUCGCCCUAGAAAUCUAUAAGUGGUUCUAAGAUAUAGUUGUACACCAUUAGUCCUUAAGACCCAGACAUCACCGUGACUUCACUAGAGGACCGAUUGUAUCGUGACCUGUCUCUGAGUCCCACCGCGGACCACUCCAAGGGCCAACGUUCGUGCAAUCCGAAAUCUAGUGUGAAGUCUGUGUAUUGUAGUAGGGGAUUCGAGCGCUUGAGUAGUCAUAGAUGUCCUGUGUGUUCUGACGGUUUAUAAUCCAUGGAAUCUCUGGCCAGAGUUGAUAGUGGGGUGAUUAGGGAAAUGUGUUUCCCUAAGUCGCACACGAACGGAUUUAUAAUACCUAGAACGUUCGCACGGUUAUUGAACUUUAUAAGAGGUCUCGGUGAACCAAUGCCUCUAGUUCAAUCGGGACAUGUGCUACGAAAGGAUCGUACUGUACGCUAACUAUAUCAUAAGGUUCUUGCAGGCACUUCACUUGUAUCUAGGGAAUCAUGAUGCGUAGUUGCUAGACGCCAAUCUUGAUUCGUUGGGCACCGAUUUGAUCGCGGAUUAGGUAAAAUGAGUUUUACUCUAAUCGGGACUCUUGGGAGGAGUUCGUAUAAGAACAAUGUGUUGUUCGAAUCACAAAGAGUUGUGAGCCCACGGCUAGCAUACACCUGAACCAUUGAGGGUCACACUUCUCGUGUAAUAUAGAUCCUUGAUAACAACAAGCAUAGAUUAAUGUGUUAAUCUUUGAACGAUUGGAUGUCGAUAUGGUUGAAUCCAAGAUUCGUAAUUGUGGAUUGCGAAUCGGAAUAAACGUAGAGAAAGAGAGACAUGCGGAAUUUAGUGAACUUUCUAAAUUGGGAAGUUUCCCGAUUUAGCAAGUCCACUGAAGUGGAAGUUUCCAAUUUUGGAAAUUGGAAAUUUCGAAGAGGCACUCGUAUCGAUGAGGACUUUGAGCUCGUCACAAAUAUAAUUUUGUUAUAAUUUUGUGAACGAUCGUUUAUUAUAAACGAGGCCGACGAGGGAAUGGGCUUAAUACAUCAGUGGGUCAAGCCCAAUGACUAAAACCCACUAGGGUUGAAAACCCUAAGUAUAAAUAGACCUCAAACAAGAGUUUGAGAUAAGAUUUUCAGCACCAAAAACCCUAGCCGCUCAGCCCCCUUCGGCCGUUGCUGCCCCGCCGUGCCACCGCCGACCACCGCCGGAAAACCGCCGGUUUUUCUCCUCUUUUUCCUUCGUUUUAUUCGUGUUGUUAUCUAACUCGUUUACAUCUAGUGCUGUAGUUCGAGUGGGUCGAAAAUACGAGGUGAAACCUAAUUGGAGAGGAGCUGCUGCCUCGACGAAUCCACGCACCGCCGCACGCGCCGCACCGCCGCUCACGCGCCGUCGCUGCCGCUGCCACGCGCCGCCGCUGGUGCUGCCAUUCAUCGCCGUUCGUUGCUUGCUGGAUCAGCUUGUUCCAGCCGUGAAUUGCAGCCCCGAGGAUUGGUAAUUUGCAGCUUGUACGUGAUUCGUUCUAGGUUUCGAUUCGUCGAAAUCUCACGCUACAACAGGUAAAUAAAUCGAAACUUUCGUAAAUUAAUUCGAGCAUGUUUGUAUGAGUUAUAAUUUAUUAUUAUGAGUAAUAUGUGAUUACAUGUUUCGAUUUCAUUGAAUGAUGAAUAAGCAUGUUUCGUGAUUUUCGGUUUUAUGUAUUUUUCAAUUAAAUCGAUAAUUACCAUAUGUAUGGCGGAAGCGUUAAGGUACGUUGACUAUGUGAUUAGUUUAUGCAUGUAAUCGAAAUUAGUUCGAUCUAAAAUUUUUAAAUUCCGCUGCGUAUACAUGCACGAUCCCCAACAGUGGUAUCAGAGCCACGGGUUAAUCGUUUAUUUGUCAACGUGUUUAUCGCUUUCGAAAGCAUGCUUCGAUUUGUUGAAUUGUUGAUUUUUUGGUGUUAUCAAAUUGGGUGGUUUAAUAUUAAUUAAAUAUUUUGAAUAUUUCAGAAAAUAUAAAAAAUUUAAUUUUGAAAAAUUCGAUUUUUUGCUGCUGUUUUUCAGCUGACCGAACCGGUCCGGUCGGACCGGUCUGACCGGUCUGGUCAGCAACAAAAAAAAAAAAAAAAAAUUGUUUUAUUGAUUUUCAGAGAUUAAUAUUAAAAUCAAUUGAUUUUUAAUUUUUGAAAUUAUUUAUCAAUUAAACCCAAUUAGAUAAUUGAUCCAUUAAUUUAAUUUGAAUUCAAAGAAUAGUAUUGGAUUAAUUAUUUAAUUUAAUUGUUAAAUUAGUUUAAUUAAUGGAACACAAAUUAAAUGGCAAAUAAUUAAUGGACUUCAUUCUUAUUUGAUUGAUUUAUGAAUGAAGGGAGUCCGUUAAUUAUAUUUCCAAUUAAUUGUAUUAAUUAAUUAAUUCAUGAGAUGAAUGAUUGUAAUUAAGUACGAUGAUGAUCGUAUGUCUCUCUUAGGAUCAAUAUGCGUUUCCACAUACCUAGAGAACAUAGUUGUAGGAAUCACAAACGAUCAUAACCUAAUACUUCCGAUGAGCUAAUAAGAUUUAAUAAAUAAGAUCCCUCAUUCUUAAUCAAGAAUAAUUAUCAAGCCAUAAAGAAAAACCAAAUUGUUGAAUUUUCCUUUCCUUCUACCAACAAUUAAAUUAUGUGUAGCCUCUCAUAAUAGUGCAGUAAGCCGUGUUAGCGGGGAGUGCUAUUGUGGGAUAAGCUGUAAUUUAAUUGACAUUAGAUGGAGAUACGGUCAUAGAUAAAAUUCUAUUGGAUUAAUGUGGUCGGCUAGAUUAACUAGGGAUUGCAUUAGUUUGAUAUAGUUGGAUCUAUGACAUCUCAUAUUGGUAGGCUAGACUUGACACACGAAGAUUUUGAUAGACGCUAGAUUAACUUAGGUCAUUAUCAAGUGUGAGGUAAAACAAACUUUAGGGUCACAUAGUGAUGUGAUUGAUAGUACUCUACCUUUAGGCUUAUGUAAUCGGGAUAGAUUAACUACGGGUUACAUUAGCGCUAUUGGACCUAAAGCCAAUUAAAGAAAAAUAAGUUUUCUCGAUUGUCUGCUAGAGGGUGGUGGAAUUCGAUAAAAUUAGUGGGAGAACAAUUAAAACAUAAAAGUCCAAAAUUUUAAUUGUAACGAUUAUUACGAACUAAACUCUAAUUAUUGUCUUCUUAAAAUUUUCUCAGCAACAAUGUCCAAACAUCCCCUUUCCUCAAUCCUCGACCAAAACAAACUCACCGGUCCAAACUAUUUGGAUUGGCUUCGCAAUCUGAAACUUGUGCUCCAAGUCGAGGAGCGUCUCUAUGUGCUCAAUGAACGUCCCCCCGCUGCUCUUCCUGCGACAGCUACUGCUGACGAGACUGCCACUUUCGAGGCAUGGAAGAAGGACGACCUCCAUGCGAGGUGCUACAUGCUAGCAUCAUUGGUGCCAGAGCUCGCGAGGAAGUAUGAGUCUCACGUGCAUGCUUACGAUAUCAAGCAUCAUCUUGAAAGCAUGUACAGUGAGAAUACUAGGGCAUCGAGGUACUCAGCUACCAAGGAGUUGAUCACCAUGAGGCUGCGUGAAGGGGCUUCGGUCCACGAGCACGGUCUCAAGAUGAUCACUCUCCUUGAGAAGCUGGUGAGCCUCGAUGUCACCCUCCUGGCCGAGCUCUCGGUGGAUUUGAUCCUACUGUCCCUUCCUAGUUCUUAUGAAUCGUUCAUAGUGAACUUCAACAUGAACAAGCUCGAUCCACCAUUGGAUGAGUUGUUGAACAUGUUGGUCAGCUAUGAGUCCACGAUCAAGAAGGAGAAAUCUGUUCUCCUAGUUGCUCCUUCUGCGAAGAAAUGUUCUUUACAGAAGAAAAGGAAAGAAAGGUGUUUCGGCCCGAGCAAGAAACUUGAGAAGGGCGAGUCGAGCGGAGUGAAGAAUGACAAGGUCACCAAGCAAGUUGAUGACGCUUGCCAUCAUUGUGGAAAGAAGGGCCAUUGGCGACGCAACUGCAAGGCUUACCUCGAUCAGAAACGUUCUGAAAAGGGUACGUAUUUAGUUGAAGUUAAUUUGUCCGUUAAAUCUUCUGCUUGGGUAUUGGAUACUGGUUGUGGCUCACAUCUUUGUAAUGAUUUGCAGCUCAUGACAAGAAGUAGGAAGCUUAAUGUGGGUGAGACCUACCUAAGAAUGGGCAACGGAGCAAGGGUUGCUGCUGAAGCCAUUGGGACGAUUUAUCUUUCUGUUUUGGAUUCUAGUUUUUCCAUUGUUUUGAACAAUUGUUUAUUUGUUCCGUCACUUAUUCGAAACCUUAUUUGUAUUCCUGUUUUGGAUAAUGAAGGUUUUACUUUUGUUUUUGGAAAUUCGAUUUGCAUUAUACAAAAGGAUCAAAAUGUGAUUUGUAAGGGACAACUCAUAAACAACUUAUAUGAACUAAAUCCAAAUGAAAUACCAAUUAACGUUAUAUCAGCAAAACGAAAAGAUAUAAGUCUUAACCCCGCACAACUUUGGCACGAUCGACUUGGUCACAUUUCCUUGAGAAGGAUGAACAAGUUUGUAAGUGAAGGAAUGUUCUCCUUGGAGGACGUGAAAUCACUUCAAACUUGUGUAUCCUGCCUUAAAGGAAAAAUGACCAAGACUCCCUUCAAAGGGAAGAUGGAACGAGCCGAGGGUCUUUUGGAUUUGAUCCAUUCAGACGUGUGUGGUCCACUAAGCGUUAGUGCUAGGGGUGGUUUUAACUACUUCGUUACCUUUACCGAUGAUUAUUCUAGGUAUGGUUUCGUGUACUUAAUGAAGUAUAAGUCUGAAACUUUUGAAAAGUUCAAAGAUUUUAGACACCAAGUAGAAAACCAACUCGGUAGACGUAUUAAAAAACUACGAUCCGAUGGUGGUGGCGAAUACUUAACUACUGAGUUUAUAGACUAUCUUAAAGAGAAUGGGAUUCUGUCUCAAUGGACUCCUCCUGGAACUCCUCAACUUAAUGGAGUUUCCGAACGUCGGAAUCGAACACUGUUAGACAUGGUUCGAUCUAUGAUGGGGUUCACCGAGCUACCGGCAUACCUGUGGGGUCAUGCACUCCUUACUCCCAUGUAUUUGCUGAAUAGGGUUAAUACCAAAGCAGUUAACUCCACACCUUAUGAACUUUGGCACUCCAAGAAACCCACGUUUAAACAUAUUAGGAUAUGGGGUUGUCCCGCUUACGUGAAGCGGCUAGUGGGAGAUAAGUUGGAUAGACAAUCCGACCUAUGCUAUUUUGUGGGGUAUCCCGAGAAUUCCAUGGGAUACGAAUUCUACUAUGUUUCCGAGGCAAAGGUGUUCGUCUCGAGAAAUGCCGUGUUCCUUGAGAAGGAAUUUCUAUCGGAUAGAAAGGGCAGUGUAGUUGAUCUCGAAGAAGUUCGAGAACCACAAUCUGAAGUUCAAGCACAACAAUCAGAUAAUGAACCAAUUCAACAAACCACUAAUAUACCUCCUGAACCGUCGCUGCGUUGAUCCGAAAGAGUUCGGAGAGCGCCCGAUAGGUUAUUCCUCGUUGAUGAAGUUGACCAAGGAUGUGAUCCUAGAACUUUCAACGAAGCUCUAUCGGAUACAGACAAGGGACAUUGGCUUAAUGCCAUGAAAUCCGAAAUGGACUCUAUGUACUCCAACAAGGUAUGGACCUUGGUAGAUCCACCCGAGGAAUUCGUUCCCAUAGGCUACAAGUGGAUCUAUAAGAAGAAAAUUGGAGUAGAUGGAAAGGUAUCAACCUACAAGGCUAGAUUGGUAGCGAAGGGUUAUACUCAAAAGCAAGGUGUUGACUAUGAGGAAACCUUCUCUCCAGUUGCUAUGCUUAAGUCCAUUAGGAUUUUGCUGGCCAUCUCUGCGUGGUAUGACUACGAGAUAUGGCAAAUGGAUGUGAAGACCGCUUUCCUUAAUGGGGACAUUGAGGAAGAAAUUUACAUGGCGCAGCCGGAAGGCUUCAUAUCUUCUGGAGAUGAGCAAAAGGUUUUCAAACUCCAGCGAUCCAUUUAUGGAUUAAAACAAGCAUCCCGUAGUUGGAAUAAAAGGUUCGACACAACUAUCAAAGAGUUUGAAUUUGUGAAAAACCCGGAGGAACCUUCUGUCUACAAGAAGGUUAGUGGGAGUGCAGUGACUUUCCUUGUACUUUAUGUUGAUGACAUACUACUCAUUGGGAAUGAUGUAGGGAUGUUAUAGUCAACUAAAGUAUGGUUAUCCACACGUUUCUCGAUGAAGGAUUUGGGAGAAGCAUCCUACGUAUUGGGAAUACGGAUCUAUAGAGAUAGAUCGAGGAGAUUACUUGGCUUGUCCCAAUCCAUGUACAUAGACACCGUUCUCAAACGAUUUAGCAUGGAAGAAUCCAAGAAGGGAUUCUUGCCAAUGUCCCAUGGGGUUCGUCUCUCGAAAUCCAUGCGUCCUCAAACGCAAAUGGAAAUCGAGGAGAUAAAAAGGACACCUUAUGCAUCCGCUAUAGGAAACAUAAUGUAUGGCAUGCUGUGUACACGACCUGAUAUUGCGUAUGCUGUGAGCGUCACAAGCAGAUAUCAGUCCGACCCCGGCCCAGCCCAUUGGAAGGCUGUGAAGGACAUUCUCAAGUACUUGCGAAGAACUCGAGAUUUGUUUUUGGUCUGUGGGGAUACCGAGUUGAAAUUAGAAGGCUUCACGGAUUCAAGUUUUCAAUCGGACGUGUAUGACUCGAAGUCAAACUCGGUGUAUAUAUUCAAAGUCAACGGGGGUGCUGUGUGUUGGAAGAGUUCCAAACAAGGCACGACGGCUGAUUCCACCACCGAGGCUGAAUAUAUUGCAGCAUCAGAUGCUUCAAAGGAAGGGUCAUGGAUUAGGAAAUUCAUCCAAGAGUUGGGUGUAUUUCCAAACGCUAGCGAUCCAGUACGGCUGUACUGCGUUAACAACGGAGCCGUAGCGCAAGCUAAGGAACCAAGAGCUCAUCAGAAGUCGAAGCACGUGUUGAGAAAAUACCAUGUGAUCCGAGAGACCAUAGAGAGAGGUGAAGUCAAGCUAGACAGAGUCACCUCGGAGGACAAUAUUGCAGAUCCCUUCACCAAGCCAUUGUCAGGAUCAGUCCACGAGAAACAUCGAGAGUCGAUGGGACUUAGAUUUAUGAGUAGUUGGCUUUAGGUCAAGUGGGAGAUUGUUGGAGUAGGUGACCAACAAGCCAACUUGUGGCUGUGGUCUUUCCUUUUAUCUUGUAAUAAAACAAUCGUUUUUCGUUCGUAAUAAUAAAACAUUUCAUUUGGCAUUCUAUAUCUGUUAUCCCAUGCAAGCAGCAUAGAUAUAGUCCUAACGAGUUACUCUAUUACUGUGAGUUGAUCUAGUAGAAUCGUGAGAUAACUCAGCAAUGUAAUGUAACUGUUAAACCUUGUUCCUAGUCGAUGGGUUACGCCAAUAAUGAGGAUACCGGCCUUUCCCUUUUGAGACUAGCACUUAGUGUAUGUGUACUGCGUCUCAUCAGUCCUCGGUGUUGUGACAUCGGCAUACUUGAGUGGGUGCUCAUACUAGAUGAGUUCACUGAACUCCCUCGCCCUAGAAAUCUAUAAGUGGUUCUCAUUCAUCGAGUAAUAGGUUUCUAAGAUAUAGUUGUACACCAUUAGUCCUUAAGACCCAGACAUCACCGUGACUUCACUAGAGGACCGAUUGUAUCGUGACCUGUCUCUGAGUCCCACCGCGGACCACUCCAAGGGCCAACGUUCGUGCAAUCCGAAAUCUAGUGUGAAGUCUGUGUAUUGUAGUAGGGGAUUCGAGCGCUUGAGUAGUCAUGGAUGUCCUGUGUGUUCUGACGGUUUAUAAUCCAUGGAAUCUCUGGCCAGAGUUGAUAGUGGGGUGAUUAGGGAAAUGUGUUUCUCUAAGUCGCACACGAACGGAUUUAUAAUACCUAGAACGUUCGCACGGUUAUUGAACUUUAUAAGAGGUCUCGGUGAACCAAUGCCUCUAGUUCAAUCGGGACAUGUGCUACGAAAGGAUCGUACUGUACGCUAACUAUAUCAUAAGGUUCUUGCAGUCACUUCACUUGUAUCUAGGGAAUCAUGAUGCGUAGUUGCUAGACGCCAAUCUUGAUUCGUUGGGCACCGAUUUGAUCGGGGAUUAGGUAAAAUGAGUUUUACUCUAAUCGGGACUCUUGGGAGGAGUUCGUAUAAGAACAAUGUGUUGUUCGAAUCACAAAGAGUUGUGAGCCCACGGCUAGCAUACACCUGAACCAUUGAGGGUCACACUUCUCGUGUAAUAUAGAUCCUUGAUAACAACAAACAUAGAUUAAUGUGUUAAUCUUUGAACGAUUGGAUGUCGAUAUGGUUGAAUCCAAGAUUCGUAAUUGUGGAUUGCGAAUCGGAAUAAACGUAGAGAAAGAGAGACAUGCGGAAUUUAGUGAACUUUCUAAAUUGGGAAGUUUCCCGAUUUAGCAAGUCCACUGAAGUGGAAGUUUCCAAUUUUGGAAAUUGGAAAUUUCGAAGAGGCACUCGUAUCGAUGAGGACUUUGAGCUCGUCACAAAUAUAAUUUUGUUAUAAUUUUGUGAACGAUCGUUUAUUAGAAACGAGGCCGACGAGGGAAUGGGCUUAAUACAUCAGUGGGUCAAGCCCAAUGACUUAAACCCACUAGGGUUGAAAACCCUAAGUAUAAAUAGACCUCAAACAAGAGUUUGGGAUCAGAUUUUCAGCACCAAAAACCCUAGCCGCUCAGCCCCCUUCGGCCGUUGCUGCCCCGCCGCGCCACCGCCGGAAAACCGCCGGUUUUUCUCCUCUUUUUCCUUCGUUUUAUUCGCGUUGUUAUCUAACUCGUUUACAUCUAGUGCUGUAGUUCGAGUGGGUCGAAAAUACGAGGUGAAACCUAAUUGGAGAGGAGCUGCUGCCCCGACGAAUCCACGCACCGCCGCACGCGCCGCACCGCCGCUCACGCGCCGUCGCUGCCGCUGCCACGCGCCGCCGCUGGUGUUGCCAUUCAUCGCCGUUCGUUGCUUGCUGGAUCAGCUUGUUCCAGCCGUGAAUUGCAGCCCCGAGGAUUGGUAAUUUGCAGCUUGUACGUGAUUCGUUCUAGGUUUCGAUUCGUUGAAAUCUCACGCUACAAGAGGUAAAUAAAUCAAAACUUUCGUAAAUUAAUUCGAGCAUGUUUGUAUGAGUUAUAAUUUAUGAUUAUGAGUAAUAUGUGAUUACAUGUUUCGAUUUCAUUGAAUGAUGAAUAAGCAUGUUUCGUGAUUUUCGGUUUUAUGUAUUUUUCAAUUAAAUCGAUAAUUACCAUAUGUAUGGCGGAAGCGUUGAGGUACGUUGACUAUGUGAUUAGUUUAUGCAUGUAAUCGAAAUUAGUUCGAUCUAAAAUUUUUAAAUUCCGCUGCGUAUACAUGCACGAUCCCCAACACUCACACCGCCGUUGUUUCCAUCUUUUCAUCUCUCCCUCGUUCUUACUCUCUCUCGCCAGAUCUGGCCAUCACUCGCCGGUGUUGCCUCCUCUCGCGGCGGCGAAAACUCUCCGGGGUUGCACUAUUUCCCCUUCCAAACCGCUCCACGUCUCGAAGGUCCAGUCACUUCUACUGACAGAGAGAAGAAGCGCGAUCUUCUCUGGUUACCUGCAAGGCGUACGAGGCCGAUGGAUCGGAGCCGAUUCUAGAAUCGUCGGAGGCGACGAGAAAACUGAAGAUCGGGAUUUACUUCACCACGUGGUAGAGCCUGAACGCGUACCCAUUUCCAUGGCUAACAUCGAUGCUCUCUUUGGCUGCUGGGUUUCUCCUCAUGCUAAUUUCAUGGACUCUCAGAAUCGCUGAAGUCCUGAAAAUCGAUCUCGAUUUCUGAAAACCAUUCUUCCGGUAAAACAAAACAGGGCUAAUUUGGUGAUUUUUCCGAUCUGUGAUUCUAAUUGGGUCUCAUUUUUUUUUCAUUAUUUUGUAUAUAUUUAAUCGAAAAAUUGAAUCGUUGAUUGUUUUUUAUGAUUUGUUUGGUUGAAUUUAAUUUUUAAGUUGCAGUGGCACAUACAAUCAUAUAGCGACUUCUGUGAGUAUGUCAUUCCUAAAUUGAGUUUUGAGGAAAAUACCUUCAUAAUCUUCUAGCAUGUAAUUGGUGUAUUGUUAACUGUUGUGAGUGUGUGAAAGUGAGCGUAUGUGUGUGUUGAAGAGAGUGGAUUGUGAGCCUUGACAUUUCUUUUAAUUAUUAAUAUUUAUGAAGUCAACCGUAUAUGAUUCAAUGGCAAAUGAAUUUGAUAGUAUUAGUAUUUUAUGUGUCACAGUUUUGAGCGGUCGGCGAGGAGCUUGCGGUGGCGCAGGUGUGGCUACGGGGAAGGGUUUCAUAGGGGCUGGAUUUUCUCCCUUUUUUCAUUUUUACGUUUUAUAUGGUUUGGGGUCGAACCGAGCCUGCUUUUAGUGUUCUAGUUUCGAGAUUCAUAUUGGGAUAGAUAGAUCGGAGUUGUUGUCGGGUUGAAAAAUGAGAUUUGAAGCUAUAAAUUCAAAUUAUACUAUAUAUGACUAUACUCAUAUAGUUAGUCAUAUGUAGUCAUAUUUAGUCACAUAUGGUCAUAUACAUGUAGUUAUAUAUAGUCACAUAUGGUCAUAUACUUGUAGUUAGUUAUAUAUAGUCACAUAUGGUCAUAUACAUGUAGUUAUAUAUAGUCACAUAUGGUCAUAUACAUGUAGUCAUAUAUAGUCACAUAUGGUCAUAUACAUGUAGUUAUAUAUAGUCACAUAUAGUCAUAUACAUGUAGUCAUAUAUAGUCACAUAUGGUCAUAUACAUGUAGUCAUAUAUAGUCACAUAUGGUCAUAUACAUGUAAUUAUAUAUAGUCACGUUUAGUAGCAUGUAAUUAUAUAUUUUUAUAUAAAAGAUAUGCAUUUUUUCUGAUGUAUACUGAUGCUGAUGUAUGAUUGUGUUUUUCGAUUUUUUUGUUGGGUACUAAUUGAUUUAUAAUAUCAAGAUUCAAAUUGUGAAUUUAUUUGUUGGUAUAAAUGAAUUUUUUUUUUAUAUAAUCAACGGGUUACAUAAUCGGUCGACCAUAAUGUUUGGGUAAAAAAACAGUACAUGACUACAUAUAACUAUACAUGACUGUCGUAUACGAUAGUCAUGUGUAGUCAAUUUCAAUACAAUAAAUUUAUAAAAAAAUUAAAAGAAAUUAAAACAAAUUAAAAAAUUAAAAAAUUAAAAAAAAAUUAAAAAAUUAAAAAAAAUUAAAAAACUAAAAAUAAAACAAAAUUAAAAAAUUAAAAAGUAAAAAACUAAAAAAAUUAAAAAAUUAAAAAAAGUAAUAAGAAAAAAUACAAGGGUAUAUAUAAAAAAUAAUAAUAAAAUAACCAUUUAUAUUUUUUUAAUAAAAAAGUCUGUAAAACUGAUAAAUGUAGGUCCAGAAUGCUAAAUGCAGUUGGGCAUUAUGCUGAAUGCAGGCCCAGAAUUCUUAAUGCAGUUGGUCAUAAUGCUGAAUGCAGGGGCGAAAUUACUGAUGCAGUUGGGCGAAAAUUUCACUUAAGGGCACAAUAGUACUUUUGCCUCUCCAGGGGUGUAUCUCAAAGGAAGAAUUUUAGGGGUGGACCUAUCCCUAUAUAUUUUCAAUUCUAGGGGUGUAUAUCAAAUGCACCCUUUAAUUAAUUGCUUAUGCCUUACUUAAACCUUUUGCGAAAGUUUAUUUCUAAUUUGAAAUCUGCAAAUUAUUUGAUUUACUAAUGUAUUUUUGUCCUCUUGUGAAGAGCUUUGUCAAUAAUUACAAAUUUUAUUAUUUUUGCAUUGAAUAGGUCAAUUUGCAUACGGGGCUACAACUCAUAUUAUCAGUUAAAUCAAUUUGGUUUGAUGUGACAAGUGUACGUACUGGUUUUUAAUUACAGCACUAAGGUAAAUUAGUAUAAUGGUUUAACGUAAUUUGUGUAAGAAGAUGUCACUUAAUUGUGCAGUAUAUUUAAGAAGAGUUACUAACUUAAUUGUGCAGUAUAUUUAAUUUGUGAAGAUGUCACUUAAGAAGAGUUACUAACUUCAUUGUGCAGUAUAUUUAAAAAGUGUAAAAGUGAAUUUCUGCUUCAAGUUACGAUUUUGCAUUAAAACAUUGCAAUAUAUAUUUGUGCUUCAUGCAACGAUAUUAUUUCUGAUUUACAAAGCUUCUUCUACAGUUUGUGUAUUUACAGUAGAAGUUAAAUCAAUUUAUAACUUUUAAGUAAUUUCUUGCAAAAUUGUAUUUAUAAAUUACUUGAGUUAUGAAUUUUUUCUAGUUUAAACAGUAGUAUUUUUAUUUUUAGACUUCUGUUUAAUUAUAUUGAACUAUUUGUGUAGAUGGCUUCAAUCAAUGAUAUCACUCCUAAGGUUGUCGGCGCGGCCGAAAAACCAAACAAGUUCAUGGGCACGGACUUUGCUACUUGGAAGAACAAAAUGUUCUUCUACCUUACUACCAUGAAUUUGGCUAAGUUUCUCAAUGAGGAGGCACCUAAGGCGAAGGAAUGAGAACUCCCGAAAAUAACAAGGAAGUCUUCCUAGCCAUUGAUGCGUGGAGUCACUCUGAUUUCCUAUGCCGUAACUACAUCUUGAAUUGCUUGGAAGAACCGUUGUACAAAGUUUAUAGUCCUAUAAAGACUGCUAAACUUUUGUGGGAUAGUUUGUCCACGAAAUACAAGUCUGAAGAUGCGGGUUAUAAGAAAUUUAUAGUGGAAAAAUUCCAAUUUUAUCGAAUGGUUGAUAGGAAAACUAUGAGUGAGCAUGUGAAUGAACUCUAACUCAUGAUCUACGAUAUUCUCGCCGAGGGUCAUGAGGUGAGUGAAUCUUAUCAAGUUGCUGCCAUAAUUGGAAAGCUUCCACCGAGUUGGACGGAGUUCAGACACUACCUAUAUGGCACAAGAAAUCGGUUGCCAAAUGGACGAUGGAGGAACUCAUAGCAAGGCUCAACACCAAGGAGGAUAGUAAAAUUACCGACAUGGGUGGUCAAUACGUAGCUAAGGCACACGUAGUGGAGAGCUCGAAGCAGAGCAACAAGAGAAAGGGUUCUACAUUUAACAAAUGACCAAAUAACAAGAAAAAUAAGAGGUUUACCAGAGCAUGCUUCGUUUGUGGAAUGAAUGAACACCUUGCAAAGGAUUGUCGCCACCGUAAAGAAAAUAAUAAAAAUGAAGCACAUGUCACCAAUGACUUAGCCGCUUCCGAGAAAGACAACAUGCACUUUUCAGCAAUUGUAACAGAGACCUAUCUAUUGAGUGAUACUCGAGGAUGGUGGGUAGAUACCAGUGCUACACGUCACAUUUGCUACGACAAGAGCAUGUUCUCCUCUUACAAAAGUUGGAACAAGAACAAAAACUCUUCAUGGGAAAUGAUGCUUAUUCGGUGGUUGAAUGACAAGGACAAGUGGUCCUAAAAUUCACUUCCGGGAAAGAUCUUACAUUGAACGAUGUGCUACAUGUUCCAAAGAUAUUAAGAAGAACUUAAUCAGUGGUUCUAUCCUAACCAAGAAAGGUUUCAAGUUGGCUUUUGAGUCGGACAAAUUAGUGCUAACCAAAGGAGGGUUGUAUGUAUGAAAGGGAUACCUAUGUGACGGUCUCUUUAAGGCGAACGUAGCCUUUAUCGAGAAGAACUAAGUUAUUAAAUAAUAUUAGUAAUAUUUAGUGCAUUUUGUUUUGUGAUAUGAUUUGUAAGAACUUAUUAUCUUUAUAAAAUGUCUUUACAUGUUAGGGUAUAUAAAAUAAAGAGUUUGAUUCUAAAAGGUUUUGACGAGUAAUGUUUUCAUUAAAAUUACCUUAUAUUUUUGUAAGUCUGCUUAUUGAUUUAAACUAUGAGUUGAAUUUAGGCAAAAUCAAUUAUUUGUUUAUACUUUAAAUAAGCACUCAUAUGAGGGGUGCUUGAUUUCUCUGAUUUGAAAACUUUUGUAAGUUAGCUCUUGAUUUAAACAGUGCAAUAUGAUUAUGUCCAAUCAAAUUGUGAGUAUUUUCUCAAUAAAAAUAAAGUUCUUAAAAUUUUGAGUUUAAUAAAAAGGAAACAAAUGAGUAUUGGUGAAAUACAAAAUAAGAAGAUAAAACACUUCUGAAAUCCGAUAGAGCGGAUAAUAUGAGUAACUUGUUUGUGUGCAAGAAAAAAUCAUUGCACCCUAUUCACAUCGAAUGGGGUAGUCAAAUGGAAAAAUUAGGAUUUAAAGACUCGAUUAAACUUGAGUUUACCGAACAACUUGUGGGGGAAGCUUCUUAUAUGUCUAAUGACAUAUUAAAUAGAGUUUAACACAAGAUGAACGUAUUUUAUGAGUUAUGGAAAUAUAUAAAAUUGAGUUAUAAAUAUCUCAAAAUGUUGGGGUAUUUGACUACAAGCUAAAUAUGUUCGUAUAUGUCCUUGAGGGAUAUAACGAGGCAAUAUAAUUAGGUAUUCGAUUUAAAAACAAUCAAUUAACAAUUUCUCUCAUGCUUUACUAUAGUAAGUCUCGACAUAUUCGUCGUAGACAUAUAACGCGAUACAUUUACUCUCCAAUGGAAUAAAUUUUCUUUGAUUUUGAGAAGUCCAAAGAUAACCUAACGGAUCUAUUUAAUAAGGUUUAUCUAGCAAGAAAGUUAAAUGUGCAUCGAGGGGAAUAAGUUUAAAGACAAAAUAACUAUGUUACCUUAUACGGAAACCUAACUUGGCGACUGGAGAGACCAUGGACCAAGUUCAAUAGGACAACCAGUUCUUUGUAACUUAAAUGAAUGGAGCACUUAAGAGUUUUAACUCCAUCUUAUUCCUAUGAUGCAAUAAGUGCAACCUACGACGUUCAAAAAGGUUAAGCUAUUGUUUUUUAUGACAUCUAUACUUGUAAAUUACAAGUAGGGUAUAGUAGAAUACUCUUUAUAGAUGCGGUCAUCUAUGUUAGUGUGAGCUGGGUCGGCUCGUUGAUAAUUCUAAAAGGCUGGAUAUCUCUAAAGCACUCGCAGAACCCGAGGAUGUUCAGGGCCAAAACAAACAGAACCGAGAACUUGAACAAGUUCGUUUAGUAUGGUGUUAAGUUUAUUGUCUUAGUUUACAAAGGAAUUUUGACAAAUAGAUCUUAUGCGAUAAGAUUGGAAGAACAAUUUUAUUCAUGUGGGGGAUGGGAUUGUUGGAACUUUGAUGAUUUUCAAUAAUUAAUAUUGAGUAAUAUUAAUUAAAUUAUGUAAAGAUUAAUUUCAUUUAUUUACUUGAUCAUAAUCAUGAAGUAAAGUGAAUGAAAAUUGUCUUGAUUAAAUGGUUAAAGUUAAAAAGAUGAGUGCUUGAUGUGAUCGAGUGAUAAGACUAGUUUGGGUUUAGGUGUCCACAAAUAUUACUUUUGGAACAUUUAGUAAUUACUCAAAUUAGUUGACCCAAAAUCAAAAUAAUAAAAUAUUUGGCUCAAGCCAAAUAUUUAAUUAAUUGGCCCAUGACCAAUUAAUUUUCCUACGUUUUGAACUCUGUGAAAAGAACAAACACAACCUUCUACUUCUUCUUCCAACCAUUGCAACCCUCUAUGAAUGGAUCUCUACAGCCUAUAAAUAAAGGCAUAAUCUGGCCAAUUAUGUACGGAAUUUAAUCGACAAUUACGAGAUAGUUCUUCAUAUUCUUUUUUGCCUUCGUCAAAGUUUCGUUUGUUGUUCAAGUUCGCCGUCGGUCGAAUAUUGGUGCAAAUAUUUGACAGCCGAUCGUUGUACCUUGGGAGACUACCGCGAAAAAAUUGUGCACCGUUGACAGCCCAGAAAUAUUGUCUUAAGAGAAUUGCCUCGGCAUGCCUCGAUCGUUCUUUGUGUUUUCAGAAUUCCUCUUUUCGACAAACAAGUACGUAUUUUCGUUCAUUUUCGCAGAUUGUUAUAUAUAUAUAUAUAUAUAUAUAUAUAUAUAUAUAUAUAUAUAUAUAUAUAUAUAUAUAUAUAUAUAUAUAUAUAUAUAUAUAUAUAUAUAUAUAUAUAUAUAUAUAUAUAUUACUAACAUACAUAUUUAUCAUUAUUAUAUGCUAAUCAUGAUUAAAAUUCGUAUAACGAUUUCACAUAAAAAUAUAAUCACAUGAUCAUGAGAUAUUAAAUUCGAGUAAAAUAAUUAACUAGUAGACAUAGAAUAUUUAAAUUGAUCACGUAAAUCACAUAAAUCAAUCUGGCACAUAAUAACCUAGUAAUUAAUUCUAGCACAUAAGAUAUUUAUAUUAAUCAUGUAUUCAAAAUUCCAAAUAAUUCUUACUUAAGGAUUUUUGGGUUAUGAAAAUUUAGUUUGGGACUAGGGUUUAUAGAAUGUGGGGUGUUACACGUUCCUUGCUCUGAUAUUAGAGUGGCUGCUUAGUGACUCGACUUUUUGUUUGUGUUCAUGAUUAUUUGAAUAAUAAUCGUAAGUAUAACAUUUUCCAAACAUGGGGAUGUAGCUCAAAUGGUAGAGCGCUCGCAUUGCAUGCGAGAGGCAAGGGGUUCGAUCCCCCGUCUCCAUUUGUAAUGUGAUUCUUUAUUUUCUCCAUCAAUUUGAUAUUUAUUUUCUUUUUAAUCACUCUCAAUUGCAGUUUGUAUUUUUAACCCUAUCAUUUUUACUGUUAAGCCACACAACCACCAUGUCCAAACUCAUCGCCUCUUUAAUCUCCUUCACCCCUCCCCGUCUUCCGCCGCUCAGCUGCCACUAAAAUAUCUUAAUUCAAGUCAUCUCCUUAUACCCACUGUUGGGGAUCUACAUGCAUACGUCCCUCGUCUUCCGCCGCGUAAUUCACCGUCAUCUCCUUAUACCCAUUGUUGGAGAUCUACAUGCAUACGUGACGGAAGUUUAAAAAAAUUCUAUAAUGCAUUCUAUGAAUGACAAAUUCAUCAAUAUAGGCAUAAUCAAUUAGCCUGCUUAGAUCACGUGUUUAAAUUAAAUUGAAAAACAUAUAGUAUGCAAAACAAUAUCAAAACAUAUUUAAUUUGUAACUAAAUAUGAAUAUUUGGUUAUUUACUCGUUGAAUGUUAGCUCCUUAAACGCUGUCUUGGUGGUCUCACCGAAGUCUGAUUUAUUCUAUGCUAUGUCUCGGUCGUCUCACAGGAAGUCCGGUUUAUUCUAUGAUACACUAGGUGAAUUAUACCGGGUAGAUAUUUACCAUUCAUAUACACACAAACACCCCCAUUAGUGUGUUUAGAUCAACGGUAAAAAAACAUCUGGUGUAGUCUUCACCGGGUGUAGCAUAGAGAUAACCCUGAAGUCAUUAGUCGAGCAAUUCCACGUCACUCUUCUUCGUGGGAAUUGAAUUUCACCUUGAAGAAAUUAAUUCACCAAUGGCUUGCAUUAGAAACUAUUGGGUAAAUUGGUGAAAGGAAAUGGAUGAAGAAAAACGAGGGAAAAUUAAUUUCCCGACGACAACCGCGGCGGCGGACGGUGGCAGGAGACGGCGGCGAAAAGGAGAAGGGGAGGGGCGGGCGGAAAGAAGAGAGAGAAAAGAACUUGUUCUCUUGUGUUGUGUGUGUCUCUCUCUACCCUAAGCCUCUUAUUUAUAGAGUUAUUUGAAUCGUAGGUGAAGUCUCCUACUUAACCUGGAAUUUGAAUAGCCCGAGCCCAUUAGGAAUCUUCUAGAAUUUCUAAUAAAUCAUAUUAUGAAUCUUAUAAAAUAACAAUUAUAUAUUCCUCCAGAUUAUAAUCUCCUCGUCAUUUCGAUUACCAUAUUGCAUUUUUCAAAUUUCCACUUUCGGGAAAAUCUAUUCUGUGGUACCUGCCAAAUUGAGAAAAUUUUCAAUUUAAAAAUUUCCCUUGAAAUCAAUAAAUUUCCUCGUAUUAAUCUAAUUCAUAAUCAACUAUUACAAAUUUUAGAUUCAAUCAUAUUGAACUCCGAUUUAGCUAAGAUCAACUAAUUAAUCUUAGUUCACCAUAUUAAGGAAUCUUCUCCACAAGAAGUGUGACCCUCAAUGGUUCAGGUGUAAGAUAGAUGUGAUUCGAAUAACUAUUUAUUCGAUUAUGGACUUGUCCCAAUUGUCCCGAUUAAGAUUAAAACAUAUGAUCGACGAUCAUAUCGGGGGCCGGCUAAAACAAAUAUAACUUACUUCUCACUUCAAUACCACAAACAUAAAAUAUAGAUAAUAAAUAUGUAAUGACAUUAAUACCCUUAAUAAAAUCAAUACCACACAAAUUUUUUGUGUGGUAUUGAUUUUCAUUAAGGUUAAUAAUAUCAUUAACUAUUUGUUUUUUUAUUUUUUAUGUUGGUGGUAUUGAAGUGAGAAAGAAAUGGUACUUGUUUUAGUCGCUUAUAUCGGUUAAUGCGCACCAAAUCAUGACUAAGGUCUAGCAACUACGUGUCAUGAUUUCCUAUAUCUAUCCUACCUUUAAAAGUGUGAAUGUUUUUAGUUUCUUAACUUUUUUGUAAUACCCAUUUUACCCUUGGUAUUAGUAAGUUAUAGUAUGUUCUACUUGUGGUUAAUUUUGUCAAAUGUUAUUGUUGUGUAAAUAAUGCAUUACGUAUUUGCUCUCCCAUUCAUUCUUAUUCCGGCCGAGUUGAGAUUAAUUAAGUAGUAAUUAAUGGAAUUGAUAAUUUUAAUUAAUAACUCCAAUCAAUAUACAUGCUCCCACCUAUUCCUAUUCCAAUUUAUUUACUUCUCUUUGUAUCAUGAAAGGUGUUGUGCUAUUCACCCUUAGACCACUACUAUACUCUGAAAAAUUCACUUUCGAAUGUAAGUUCACAUUUCCCCCUAACUUAUUUUCCUUAUUGAAUAUAUGUGCUUUUCUUCAUUAUAUUUCAUUAUGUAGAUUUAGUUCACCGCACAUCUAUUUUUUUACAUAAGUUGAUGAGAAAGUAACAAGUUUUUUCAUUGUCUGCAUUUUUUAACAGGAAACUACAAAUAUUGAAGUCCCUUACUAUGUGGACUUUUUAUAUUAUUUGAAUCUAUUCACCUAUCUCCUUUCAAUUAUGAAUAUACGUCUUUCAAUAAAGAUGUUUACGGGGAUAAGGUGAAUGUGUACUUGCUUAUUUGUUUAUAAUACAUAUAAGGCUGCGGCUAUAUGCAAGACUAAUUCCACUUGUGCAAGACCAAAUUAAAAUUUUCAAUGUAUAAAUACUAUAGUACCCUUACUUAUUAAAAAAAAUAGAAAAUUCCAAAUGUGCAAGACCAAAAAUUCAAAAACACAAAAAACCAGAUACAAGACCACAAAACCACAAGACAAACUCUCAUCUUCUCCAUCUUCCAAAACCCACAAGACCUUUCUCCCUCCUCAACCCAAGAAGCUAUGCAUUUAUCGAUUUGUUUAGCUAGAAUAUCGAUUUUCCAAAAAAAAUCCCGCACAAACGAAUUCCAUGUCGAAUUUUACAGGUAAAAAUCGACAUUUAGAUGUCGAUUUUGUGGUAUAAAAUUCGACAUUUGAAUUUGUACUAUAAAUUCGACAUGUCAAUGUCGAUUUUUACCUAUGCAAUUCGACGCUUAAGUGUCGAUUUGUAGCAUAGUUUUUCGACACCUUGGUGUCGAUUUUUACCAGUUUCAAAUUUAAAUUUUUUUUUUUUGGGCAGAUUUAGGUCACCCGUGAUUGUGCGUGGCGGGGCUGGAGGCGGCGGCGGAGCUUGAGCGGCGGAAAAGGUGGGCGUAGGUAGGGUUUCAGGGGGGGCUGUUUUUUUUUUUUUAAUUCACGCUUCUAUGUUUUUUUUUUCCUCAUUAUUUGUAUUUGGUCUUGCAUGACAAAAAAAAAAACCAAUUUAAUUUAUGGGCAUAUUUGUCAUUCCAUCUUAAUAAAAUAGAAUCUUUUGGGAUAUUUCUUUAAUUUGGUCUUGCACAAGUGGAAUGAGUAUUGCAUAUAGCCGCAGCCUACAUAUAUAAUUAUUUUGCUUUAGUUUUAUGUAAAUUUUAUUAAUUGAACAUGAAAUUAUGAAAAAUAUAACUCGAAGCCGAGAUUAAAUAUUGAGAGUAGAAGUCUCCAUUGAAUAGAAGUCUAAAUGAUCAUAUUCAAACUUCAAGAUUUGAGAUUUAAACAUAUUAAAAAUAAAUUCUCAUAUAUAAGAAAUAUGUCUAAAAAUAAGAAAAAAUAGUUGUGUUGUGUAUGAAUAAGAUUGAUUUUAAAUAUUGAGGUUAAAUAAAUUCUUAAAUUUUAUGUACUAUCAUUAUUUAUGUAUUUUAUUAAUAUAAGUGAUACCAUGAUUUAACCAUAAUCAAUUAUGUAAAAAGAAAAAAAAAACAUAAAAUCAUAAUAAGAAAAUAAAUGAUAAUGUAUAUUACUUAUUUUUUUAUAAUAUAAUUUUAAUGUCAAAGACCUGUUAGUAUACUAUAAAAUAUGUUAAAAGUUGUACCUUUUUUUUUGUUAUCGUAAUUAUUUUUAUACAAUAAGUUUCAACAAUUUUUUUUUUUUCAAAGUUACAUUUCAAGAGUUUUUCAUUAUCAUAAUAUUAUAAGUAUAUAUAUAAAUAGGGAAAAUUAGCAAUAACCCCCUCAUCUAGGAAAUGUAGUUAAGGAAACACCCCCUCCAAAAAAAAUUAGAAUAAACUCUUAGCUAAUAUUCCACCCAAAUGUUAUUUUAAUAAUUCUUAAACUACCCUUAUUUGAUUAUAACUAUUUUAACUCUAAUUAUAUAUCACCUUUUCCAAACCCGUUUUUUUGCCUCUGCCAUUUCUAUCGUUUCUCUUCUCAAUAUUCAAAUCUCAGAUUUCUCUAUCCCCCUUCACCACACCAUGACCUAAAUUACGAACAACUUCUGGAAAUCCACGGCAAAGACUAUGGCGACGAUGCGGCGAAGGAUCUUGCGCUUGCGAAAAUACUCCAAGUAGCGUUCCUUUACCCACAGUUUCUCGAUUUUGCGAAGAUUUCUUAUUCGUCGCCGUAGGUUAUGGAUUUUUAAUUUGAUUUUGCUGCCUCUUUUUGGAUAUGACGGUGGUCAUGAAGAAAAUUGGGUCUGGGUGGUUUUGUUUUGAUGGUUUUGAUGGUGGUGUUAUUGUUUGGGCUUGUGGUACGAGUUGUAAUUUACUUUAUUCGUCAUUAAAAACGGUCAGAUAAUGGAAGUGUGGUGUGGCGGCGGCGUGGUGACGACGAGGAGCAGAUCUAGGGUUUUUUGGUAGAUUAGGCGGAGCACGCGCGGGUAGAGAAAUUUGCGUAGGCUGGACCCUUAAUCGACUAUGUAUUUUUUCGGUAGUGGAUUAAGUUAAUCGACUAUGCUCUGGUAGUCGAUUAAAGUGUUAAUCGACUGUUUUGAUAGUCGACUAAGGUCACUGGAUUUUUUUUUUUUUUUUAAUUCAAGUUCUACUUAUUUGAUUUUAUUUAAAAAUAUAUUUUAUGUAAAAUAUAGUAUGUCACUGUUAUUAAUUAAUCAUAAGUUGUAUAUUAGGGUAAAUACAUUUAACCCUCUAUGGUUACAAUCUUUUGCCAUGACCCUCUUGUGCAUGCUUGUAAUAUCAGCACAUUACCCCCUUGUGGUUUAUGUGGUAGUUUCCGUCAGUUUUCUGUUAAUAAACUUAAUCGUAUGUGUCAAACUUCAAGGGGGUCAUCUGUAAACAUGAAAAAGAAAAUAAAAGCACGACGGGAUCAUCUGCAAAAUAAUACUAUGCCGUUUGACACAUGAUUAAGUUUGACGAGAAAACUAAUGGAAGUUAGCCUCAUAAACUACAAGGGAGUUAUGUGUUGAUAAUGCAAAUAUAAGGGGUCAUCUCCAAAAGCUUGUAACCUAGAGUUAAGUGUUAUUUACCCUAUAUAUAUUAAGUAAAAUCAUACGUAAUCACGUGCAACGCACGUGGUGCUUGCUAGUAUAAUUGAAAUGCAUGCAAGAACUUUAAAUUAUUGUUUGCGAAUAGUAUGGUUCCUUUGACUAGAUAUAUAUCCUGAUCAAACUAGAGGCUUUGGUUUACCAAGACCUUUAAUAUUAUUUGAUACGUGUGCGAACGUUCCAAAGCUAUAAAGUCCAUUCGUGUGUGACUUAGAGAAAACCUUUUCUCUAAUCACCACACUUCCUACUUCAGCAGAAGAUUCCUUCGACGAUAUACUUGAAGAACACACACGACAUCAGUGCAAUUAAGCAAGCAAUCAAAUCUCUAACUACAAUGCUCUAACUUCAAUUAGAUUUCGGACUGUGCGAACUUUGGCCCUUGGAGCGGUCUUUUAGGAGAUCCAGGGACAAGUCACAAGACAGCAGGUCUUCUAAUGAAGUAGCAAUAAUGUAUUAAUUCCUAAGAGCUAAUGGUGUACAACUAUAAUCAUAGAAUUUCUACUCGAUUAAUGGGAACCACUUAGAGAUUCUAGGACGAGAGAGUUCACUGAACUCAUCGACUAUGAGCACCCAUUUAUGUAUGUCAAUAUAUGUAUAUUGCAGCUGAUGAGACUCAGCUCACAUACACUAAGUACUAUUCCCGAACGGGAAAUGACGUUAUCCUAAUUAUUGGCGUAACCCAUCGACUAUGAACUGCUUAAUAGUUAUCUUACUAAGUGAAUCAUCUCAUGAUUCUCCUAGAUAUAGCUUGCCAAAAAUAGUUUAACACUAAUCACAAAAAUAUUGUUUACAAGUAAUUAUGGAAAGACCACAACCACAAGUUGGCUUUUUGGUCACCUACUCUAACAUCCACAACUUAUCCUACGAAAUAACCACAAUCGCCCGCCAAAACGUGGUUGUUUUUCUCCGGGAAUCAUCACCCCAUGCAUCCCUUCUCUCAGCCAUCGCUCGCCUCCACAUUCUUAAUCGGAAUUUGUACUCAUCUCAUUCGUUUAAAUCUGCCCUAAUUGCAACUACAUUUUUUCAUUAUUUGCUUCUUAAAUGUGGUUUAGCAAGACUGAAAGAAUGGCUAACAGAGAACAAGAAGAAGACCUCCAAAUUUCUCUUAGCUCCGGUUGAUGGAUCUCGCUACAUACUUCAAUCUGCCUAUCUCGUACUAAGUAAUUUUUUUCUCUUUUUUCCUUUUAAUUAUUUUGACAAUGGUUAUUCGUUCAGAAGUUAGUACUUAAUUUUUUUCUCUUUUUUUCCUUUUAAUUAUUUUGACAAUGGUUUUCCUUUUAAUUAUUCCCAUUUUUCCAGACAUUCAAACUUAUGUGUAUUCUUCAGUCUGUUAUUUUUUAAUCAAUUUGAUCUUAGUCAUAAUAACACAAAGAGAUUAGGAUCUAGUAUUCUAUGUCUUACAUGCUAAAAUGUAAAAUAUGAAGAAUUUGACAUUUCGUUAAAAUUUGAAUCACAAUUGUUCAACUUCUUAUGUAUUGCCGAAUCUGUGGCUACAUAGUAAAGCAAAGUAGUCGAGAAAAAACGGAUGAGUAAAAGACAAUGGAGAAAGCCGAAAAUUAUUCAGCAACUGUAUUUUCUCUCUAACGAGUUAGUUUUGUCAUCUGACUUUGGUAUACUAUCUUUUAGGUCUUCACAUUCCAUUUGGUUAUAAAAAAUGCAUCGUUUUUGCUUGAUGACAAAGAUCAAAUCAAGUAAGAAGUUGAAGCCAAGCUCCAUUAUCUCAUAAGGUAAUUUCCUGGUUGAUGUUGUUAUUGUUAGAGUGGGAGACCAACAAGUCAACUUGUGGGUGUGGUCUUUCAUUUAUUAUUAUAAGAAAUAAUUAUUUUUAAUAUUAAUGAUAAAACCCUUUUGGCGUUCGUUAUCUUUGUCCCUUACGCGAACAUAGAUGUAGUCCUUAUAGUUAUAUAUAUAUAUUUUCCAAUGCAAAUAUAUAUAUAUAUAUAUAUAUAUAUAUAUAUAUAUAUAUAUAUAUAUAUAUAUAUAUAUAUAUAUAUAGUCAACGGGUUACGCCACAAUGAGGAUAUCAAUAUUUCCCAUCUGAGACUAGCACUUAGUGUAUGUGUACUGCGUCUGAUACGAACCCCAUAGAACUUAUUACGAGACACUAACAUCUUACGCGAAAGCAAGAACGGAAAGUCCAAAGAAACAAUUCAAUUGGCAGAAUUCAGAAUAUUGACCCCGUAGAGAGUUAGAAACCAAUAUUAUCCGAGAUGAAAGUAUUGACCUAGUGAUUAUUAUGAAUCAAAAAUCAAUACUAUAGUUUAGAAUAGUUCACAAGAAUCCACUCGCAAAAUAUCCUGAAGAGUUGUUGAAGAGCAACCAAGGAGAAUUUUAAUCUCUCAAAUUAAUGCUUAAAAAUACGUUACAUUGAUUCAAGUCGACUUCCGAUCAUCCUUGUAACUCUCGUAGACAUUUGGUUAUGCAGGUGCAUGCACUUAAAGCUCAAUUUCGAUAAUGUUCCACUUAUAAUAUCUCUUCUCUUAAAACAUGAAACUUGUAGAUCUUUCAGUUAGCUUCCCUAAUCAUUUUGAAUCAUAUUAAAUGGAAUUCAUAUGAGCGAGUUAUAACUCGAAUGGUAAACUCUACCAGAAUCAUACAGGACUUUCGUAAUGCAUGAAAAUCAACAUGUGCAACGAAUUUUCCUUUUCCAUUUCUUCCAAUUCCAAACCAUUGACAUCUUAAAAAUUAGAUUCAAGCCUUUCUUCUCCAAGGAACACUUGAAUAGCCUCUUUAAACCCGUACGCUUGCGCUUUUUCCAAUUCUUCAUCUUUGAGCUUGCUAGGAUCGUAUCAUACUCCCCCUGUUUAAAAGGAUUCGUCCUCGAAUCCGGACAAAUAUAAGGAGCAUAAAUAAAUUCAGUCUCAUGAUUGAUCUCUAUCUUUGGCAGCAAACUAACACAUCUCUCAUUAGUAGAACCGCCAUCAUCCUCAUGGCACCAAUAAUGCAUAAUAUUUUUCCUUGGCAUUAUGUCACCAUCUUCUAUGGCUUGCAUUGAAAGAGUUUACAAUCCGGUUAGCUCAGCACUAUGCAUGGCUGGAUCAUAUCAUUCUUUACCCCUUCAAAAGGAUUCGCCCUCGAAUCCGAAUCUUCACUCUCUUCUUCUAGUGGUGGCGCAGGUUUGCAAUUUUCUUCCCAAUCGAACUCGACCUCAACAAUAUCUCUUACUUCUUCUUCAACUAACACAUCAUCACUUCCUAAAUCGGCUCUUUCUUUGGAUUUCUAUGGAGGAUCCAACGUGGCUUCUCUUGGUAUUGAUUCCCUAUCUCGGUUUGAUAAACAGCUCCACCGUGAUUUUCGACUCGGCGAUAUCCUUUCUUUUAACUCAGUAACGUAGGAUGAAUGAACUAAGUACUUACUUGAUCUAGGAUAAUCAUCUAACUUUUGCUCAUAAUAAUCGGAAUGACCUCAUCUUGGUCGAUCGAACUGAGCCCCUCGCCGCAUAUAAACAUCUCUUGGUGUUGCAGCUGUCACACCAUAUCUACCAUCACCAUAUACCUCAUUAUCACGAUGAGGUAUAACCCGGUUGGUGAACAUCACGUCGUACGUAUGGCCCUCGAAUAUGUUGAUCUUUGCAUAGUUUCUGUAGUUGGGUAGCAAUUCUUUCCAUCCGAUCUUGGAGUUCCUUAAAGCGUUUGUCCAUUGACGACAUCCUACGCUGCUCAAUUCUUUCUUGUUUAUAACCGGCCUUCUGAGACAUGAUCAAAACAUUUUUUUUUGACACUGAAAAACCCUAACAUAGACUCUAAGAAACUGAAAACAAAAAAAUAAAUUUGGUUUUCUUUUAUUUAUUUAUUUCCUUUUUUUUGGUAACUCGAAUGGUAAACUCUGCCACAAUCAUACGGGACUUUCGGGAUGCAUGAAAUUCGACUUGUCCAACGAAUUUUCCUGUUCAUUUUCUUCCAAUUCCAACCCAUUGACAUCUCAAACAUUCGAUUCAAGCCUUUCUUCCACAAUGAACACUUGAAUAACCUCUUUAAACUCGUACGCUUGCGCUUCUUCCAAUUCUUCAUCUUUGAGCUUGCUAGGAUCGUAUCAGCGUCUCAUCGAUAAUCGGUAUUGUGAUAUCGGCAUACAUAAGUGGGUGCUCAUAUAGAUUAGUUCACUGAACUCCCUCAUCCUAAAAAUCUCUAAGUGGUUCCUAAUUUCUAAAUGGGCCCAUGGCUAGGUUAUACCUGAACCAUCGAGGGUCACACUUCUUGUGUAAUUGAAUUUAUUGAAUAAAAGGUGAGAGAUUAAAUAUUAGUCUUUGUAUAAUUGGAAGUUAGUAUGAUUGAAUCCAAUAUUUGUAAUUUUGAAUUAUAAUUAAGAAUGAACAUAAAAAAGAAAUAGGCGAUAGCUUUAGUUGACUUUCUAACUUGGGAAGUUUCCCGAUUUAGCAAGAGCACUGAAUUAGGGUUUCCAAUUUAAGGAAUUAGAAACCGAGAAUUGGCACUCGUAUCGACGAGGACUUAAUAAUGAAUUUGAAAAUAUAAAUUUUAUAUUUGUUCGGUCAUUAAUUUGUGAGAAACGAGCAAAGAAAGACUAACGAGCUUAAGCUGUUGGGCCUAGUCCAACUUAAGCCUAUUAGGAUUUAUGUACAAGAUGUUAGAGUAGGUGACCAACAAGCCAACUUGUGGCUGUGGUCUUUUCAUUUAUUAUCGUAAUAAAUAAUAUUUUUUUCUUAUUAUUCAUAAAACACCUUGGCAUUAUAUAUAUAUUUGUCCCUUGUACAAGCAUAGAUAUAGUCCUUACAGUUAUUAUAGUUACUUAUAUUUGAUCUAUGAGGAUCAUGACAUAUUUACUUAAGUAUUAUAACUGUUAAACCGUGUUCCUUGUCAAACGGUUAUGCCACCAAUGAGGAUAUCGGUCUUUUCCAUUAAGAGAUUAGCACUUAGUGUAUGUGUAUUGUGUCUUAUCAGUAAACGGCAUUGUGAUAUCGGCAUACAUAAGUGGGUGCUCGUAAAUUGACUAGUUCACUGAACUCACUCAUCCUAGAAAUCUUGAAGUGGUUCUCAAUAAUCGAGUAGAGAUCUCUAUGAUAUAGUUGUACACCAUUAGUCCUUAAGACCUAAACAUCAACGUGACUUCACUUGAGGACCAGCUGUAUUGUGACAUGUCCCUGAGUUCCACCAAGGACCGCCCCAAGGGCCAGUGUUCGUGCCGUCCGAAAUAUAGUGGGAGAUCUAUGCAUUGUAGUCGGGGAUUCGAUCGCUAGAAUAGUCUUGGAUGUCUUGUGCGUUCUCAUAGUUUGUAAUCUUUAAGUCUGUGGCCAGAGAUGACUAAGUGAUGAUUAGAGAAUUUGAUUCUCUAUGUCAUGCACGUACAUAUUACAACACUUAGAACGAUCGCAUAGUUAUUGAACUAUAAAGGAGGUUUCGAUGAACCAAUGCCUCUAGUUCAAUCGGGACGUAUGAAUCGAAGGGAUCGUACUGUACGUUAACUAUGUCAGACGGCUCUUGCAAGCAGUUCAUUUGUAUCUAGGGAAUCAUGAUGCGUAGUUGCUAGACGCCAAUCUUGAUUCGUUGGGUGAUUAAGUUGAAACGAGCUUCAUCUUAAUUAUAACUCUAGGGACAAGUUUAAUCCACAAAGAGUUGUGGGCCCACGACUAGCUUACACCUAAACCAUCAGGGGUCACACUGGGUCACACUGCUCGUGUACUCGAGUUCUUUGAAUAAAGGGUAAAAGAUAAAAAUAUGUAAUCUUUGCAUAAUUGGAAAUCAAUACGAUUGAGUCUAACAUUCAUAAUUGGGAAUUAUGAGUGAGGAUAAGAAAAGGAAAGAACGAGGCGAUCAUCUUAGUGAACUUUCUAAAUUGGGAUGUUUCCAAAUUUAACCGGUCCACUGAAUUAGUAUUUCCAGUUUUAGAAAAUGGAAAUCGAGAAUUGGCAUUCGUAAUGACAAGGACAUUUCAAUGAUUCCAAAAAUAUAAUUGUUAUAUUUUCCAAUCAUUGGUUUAUGAGAAACGAGCAAAGAAAACUAACGAACUUAAGUUGUUGGGCCCGGUCUAACUUAAGCCCGUUAGGUCUUAUAUACAAGACACUAUAAAUACAAGAUUUAUAGGUCUUGUACACAAGUAAGAAACCCUAGCCAUUCUCCACCCACGUCUGCUGCCAUCUCCACCGCCACCGUCAUUGUCGUCGUCGCUCCGUUGUCGGAAAUCGGCGCCCAUGCGCCGCUUCUCCUCGGUUCUUGUUUCUUUUGUUUUAUUCUUCCGUUUAAUCUCACUUUUGCAUGUCUAGUGCCACGUAUUUUGUAGAACUCGAUAUACGAGGUUAAAUCCGAGAGGAAGAAGACAAAGAAGUUAGAUCACCGAGAAGCACUAGCCGAACAGCCACCGCACGUGCUCUCACGCGCCACCCAAAGACAACGCUUGAUUCACACGCGUCGCCGCUGCCCGUGCGUCCGUUGCCGGCGUUCCUCAUUGCUGCACGGUUUGGUUUCUGUGGCAGUUUGCAUCAAUCCGAUAAUUCGCCUCACGCUUCAAAAGGUAUUUUCGGAUCCGUUUUAAACUACGUUUAAUUUAAUAUGAUUAAAUUAAUUGUUGAUAUUUGCAGUAUGUUUUUCAUGAAUGUCGUUAUGUGAUUAUCAAUGUAUGAUUCAUGAUUUACUCGAAUUAAUUAUAUGCAUGCUGUGUUUUAAUUUCGUUGGAAGCAUUAAGGUACGCAAUUAGUUGCUAUUAUCGAGUACGUGUUUAUAUGAUUAAACUAGUUUUUCAUAUAUUGUUUUAUUAUUUUCCGCUGCGUACACCUGCCUUAGCCCCAACAGUGUACAAGACACUAUAAUACAAGUAUUAUAGGUCUUGCAAAAGAGUGAAAAAUCCCUAGCUGCUCCCUUCUCUCACCAACCCACGGCCGCCACCUCUCUGCACAAGUCCGCCGCAGCCACCGGUCGUCGCCUCUAGGCGCCUCAGUUGUCGAUUAGUAGUUUCUUUUUUUGUCUUUUGUUGCGUUUGUCGCCUAUAUGCAUGUUUGUUGAACGUAGAUUUAAUACCCAAUACGUUUACUUUAUGUGGAUCUUUUGUUUAGAUUUAGUUAUAUUUAUGCUUUAAUUGAUUGAUUUUGUGUUGUAUAGGUGAAAAACGAGAAAUAAGGGUCCAUGAAGGAAAAAAAACUCAAAAAGAAAGGAAAAAGUUGCAAUAAGGAAAUAAAUAAAAUUGGAAGAAGGAAUCUCGCCACAUCUUUGACAGUGUCAACCAUUUCAAGCAUAUCUCUCUCAUACGAACUCUAAAUCAGUUGAUAUUGGCGGCAUUGGAAAGAUAAUUUCAAGGGAUACAAUAUUUAUUUUACGCAUCAUUCCAUAAUUCAGGCUCCAACAUGGUCAAAAUCAAAGAACAAAUUAUGCUGGGGAAAAGUGGCGGACAUUGAUUCCUAUUAGGUUUCAACUACUUCCUUAUCAAGAAAAGCCUAUAAAAGCAACAAAUCUGUACACCAGAAGCACUAAAUUUUACACCACAAAAUGCGAAGAACGAAGAUCGAAGACUCAAUCAUAGUUUUUCUUCUUUCUUGUAUUAAUUCUAUUUGGUUUAUCAUAAGAAUUACGAGUAACUAAGCUUUUAGUUUCUAGGAUUUUAUUCGAACCCUAUGUGGGAUUUGUGAACCCAAUUUUAUGAUUUUAUGCAAGUAUUAAUUUUAUAUUAUUUAUUCUACUUGACUUAUUAAGUGCAUGAACUUGAUCAAUUUAUGUGCUUUGUUGUUAUUGUUGAAUGUAUGAAUCGGAAGAUCGGUUAAUAAUUAGAACUGUGGUAGAAGAGUCUUUAUGGUGUUAGGAUAGGAAUGUAGUUAAUAUUUUAGGUAGCCUUUAUUGAGAUUUGUGCUUCAUGUUGUGUUCUAGAACUAAUUGCGUAGGAAUACAUUAAUUGAAUCUAGAGUAUAAGAACUGUAAUACACGCGGAAGCAGGUUAUGAUUAAUUUUAGCAUCUCAGGUUAGUAAUCCGAUUUAAUAACUUGCAUACUUGAAGGAAUUGAGGAAUUAAUAAUCACAUAGGGGAGAGAAUAAAAUCCUAGGCUUGCUUUUUUCUGAAUAACCACCGUGCUUAAUCACUACCUUGUUCUUGUCUUUUUAAAUUACUUUAAUUUAGUUUAGUUUAAUUAUUAUCAACAUUCGACUGUGUACGGUGGGCUUGAGCAUAAUUGGUAGAAUGUAGCGUCUAUAAUUAGAUAAUUAUAUACUCUCGGCGGGAUCGAUACUUGGACUUAAAAUUCCAUUAUAUUACUUGUACGAUACGUGCACUUGCGUGUAGGUAUUACCACUAACAAGUUUUUGGCCCCGUUGCCGGGGAAUUUAAUAAAUUUUCUAUUUAUUGUGACUCUAGAUUUGAACAAUUCUCCCAAUUCACCCAAUUUUUUUUCUUAGUUUUAUUUUUAUUUUUAUUUUUUUUCUCUUUGGUUACAUGUCAGGUUACAAUUUCCAUGCACCUCAAACGGGAUAUGAAUGACUCCCGUCUGACAAAUACUUCCGUAAUACCUAUGAUAUGCCUCUAUUUUGUUCAACAUGUGGUGGAAAUCAUUACACUAACUAAUGUUGGGAAGCACCGAAAGCAAUUAAUUUCAGCAAUAAUACCAACAGAGGUUAUUCGAACACAUACACCAACACUUACGCACAAAGCGUUCUAAGCCAAGCUUUCAAUGAUUUUCAACAUCGAGAGCCGCAAUUUGAUGACUUUCAAACAUAUUAUGCAAGGCCACGAGAACCCACUAUUCAGGAGGUUAUUUAAAAUCCAUCAUUGAGUAAUUCAUGAAAUCCACUCAAGCUUCAAUCUGAAAACUGGAGAUACAGUUGGAAGAGAUCAAGUUCCAAAGGUCUCUUGAAAAUAUUCCAGACGAUCUCGAGAAUGGUUGUAGCAAAGAAAAUCUCUGUGAAACUUCUUGUGAGAAAAAUAUUUUAGACCUAUAAAAUAGUGUUCAUAAGAAUCAAAAUGAAUUUACAAAGAUGCUUAAGGAUGAUGCAACCGAGCUAAACUCCCAAGAUGUCUUAGUACAAGAGAAGAAGGAGAUUGAUGUGGUUAGUGCAAAUAUUAAAAUUUAGGCUAUUAUCAUUGCACGUAACGUAGCUUUGAAGGCAUCAAUUGAGGUUGAUGAAUUGGCGAACGAGUUUGAAGUGGAGAUUAUACGCAGACUUGAGAUUUUUGGAUACCGAUUUGAGGGAGCGGCUGUUGAACAUCCCAACUUGGCUUCAAACCGAUUGGCUACUACCAAAAAUGACUACAAGCUAAGGUGUACCCUGACAUAUUGCUGUCAUAUCCUUGUAUUGGUUGCAAUUGAAGUGAUAGAGCUCAUGGAUGGAUGCGCAAUAUACAAGGCUUUGGAUCGGACAUAACAGUUUUAAGAAGCAAAGUCUGGCUGAAUACUUAAAAUUUAGCACUGCUCGGGAGGCAACCCGAGCAUUUAUCGUUUUAUUUUCUUAUUUCUAGUUGUUUUUAUUUUUUUUCUUAGAAUUUAUAUAAUCUUGCAAUGUAAUAAUUUAAUCAUGUUUGAAUUUUCAGGUCGAAAAUUUGAGUGCUUGAUUGUUGUCUUUUAUGCAUGCAAUAAGCCGUGUUAUCGGAGAGUGCUAUUAUAGGGUCGGCUGUAAUUUAAGUAACAUAAAUGAUGAAGAUUCUCAUAGAAAUGGUUCUAUUAGAUUAACGUGAUCGGCUAGAUUAAAUAGGGGAGGCAUUAGUUUGAAAGAAUCAGUUCCAUGAUUGGUAGGUUAGACUUGACACGCAAGGUUUUAAAGUCGCGAAAUUAACUUAGUUCAUUAUCAAGUGUGAGGUAGAUAAAAUUUGGGGCCAUAUAAUGAUAUGAUUGAUAGUGAUCUACCUUUGAAAAAAUGUAAUCACUACAGAUUAACUACGGGUUACAUUUUUCUAUUCGACCUAACGCCCAUUACAGAAAAAUCAUUUUUCUCGUUUGUCUAUUAGAGGGUAGUGGAAUUCGCAAAACUUAGCGGAAGAAUCUCAAUCCUCGACCAAAAACUCAAUGGUCCUAACUAUCUCGAUCGGUACGUGUUCUGAAACUUGUGAUCACUGUUGAGGGGCGUCUCUAUGUGCUCUAUGAGAGGCAUCCUGCCUCUAUACCUGACACUGCGACUGAAGCUGAUAAAGCGACUUAUGAAGCUUGGAAGAAGGACGUCACUCAUGUAGGUGCUACAUGAUAGCAUCUAUGGAGCCCGCGCUUGCAAGGAAAUAUGAGUUUCACUUGCAUUAUUUCGACAUCAACUCUCAUCUUGAUAGCAUGUAUAAUGAGAAUACUAGAGCAUCAAGGUACGUAGUGAUAUGAAAUGGAUAAUAUUAACCCCUAAUUAUCUGCCUAUUAGAGUCACAGGGGUAAUUCUUCAAUACUUAGAGCACAAGUCCACACAAUUUAAAUUAAGUCUAGUUAUGUUCCUACUUUUUUGCCAUUUCCUUAGUUUUAGGUUGAUGAGUUGUAUUGCAGUUUAGUAUUGCAGUGUCUUGUGCGUAUAUAAAUGCACCAGCAAGUUGUGAAUAAGGAUAUGAUAUUUUCAAGCUACUCUUUUAUCUCCUUAUUACUAUGCUAAGUUCUAUCUUUUCCUUAUUUUUUUCUCAAAUUACCAUAUCAUUUGGUGUCAGAGCCGGGUUAAUCAUGGACACAUGAGGGAAAAUCAAUGCUGAAUUUUGCAACGAUGUGAAUGAAGAAUUGGCCCGACAUGAAUCCAGUUUUGAUCAGGUGAACACCACAUUGCAGGCGGUUUUGAUGGAACUCCAAGCCUUGAGAGUAACUCGAAACACCUGCCAAGUCCAACCCGAAAUCAACCCUUUUGCACCAGAAGGGUCCCACCGCUCGCACGCCGCUACCGGAAUCACUAAUUAUGAUCCACAACACCUCAAGCUGAAUUUUCCCCCAUUUAAUGGGGGGAGUACCUGUCUCGUGGAUAUAUAGGGUUGAGCAAUAUUUUGAAUUUCAGAAUAUUGCAGCUGAAACCCAAGUUCAGUUGGCCUCUUUCCACCUUGAAGGCAUUGCAUUGCAAUGGCACCGCUGGUUAAUCGAAUUCCGAGGACCCAUUUCUUGGAGUGACUUCACGAAAGCCGUUAUCCUUAGGUUUGGACAACCUGAAUACGAAGAUCCUUCCAAAGCAUUGUCACGCCAUAAACAAACCACUACAGUGGCUGCAUAUCAGGAGGUAUUUGAGAGACUCUCCCAUCAGGUUGACGAGUUACCAGAGCAAUUUCUAAUUAGCUGCUUUGUUUUCGGGCUAUGCGACGACAUUCACUAGAUGUAAAAAUUAAGAAACCACAAACAUUCGCCAAUUCCAUUAGAGUGGCAAGCCUGAUCGAGGAAUGCAAUCUCCUCCGAAGAAAAACAAUAAAUCCUAGCCGUCUUCCAAUAUCCGCCACAGUACCGAAAGCACCCAACACUUCCGCGGGAGUUCAUGGACCCUAUCCAAAUCACCGAUCCAUCAAUAACUCAAGUUUCUCCUUGGUACCUGUUUUUCGAAUCACAAAUCAAGAGGCUCGUGAAAGGAGGGAUAAAGGAUUAUGCUAUUAUUGCCACGAAAAAUACUUUCAGGGACAUCGGUGCUCACGACCCCAACUUUUCAUGAUCACAUAUAGAUUAGCGGAUGAAGAUGAAGCUUUAGACGAUAAUCAACAAGGUGUGAAGGCGAUUAACCGGAGAUAUCCUUUCAUGCCAUUUCCGGGGUUGAACACCCACAGACCAUCCGUGUUCUAGGUCGGAUUAAGGAACAAAGAUUCGGUUUUCUUGAGCGAUGGUGGCAUCACUCAUAAUUCAUUAAGCAAUCGGUAAUUUACGGGUCUGGGCUGCCAAUCAUAAAGGAAACAAAAAUUCAAGUGAUUCUGGCAAAUCAAGAAAAGAUCGAGUGCUUAAGGUAGUGUCAAGGACAUAUACUCACUAUCCAAGGAAUUUGUCAUGGACUAGUUUUUAACAUAAAUGAAUUCAAAAACAGAAAAAACAGAUAUUUGAUUCCAAGCUCAAAAAGUGAGCUGUAAGUUCAUACAAGAAAGGAAACCAUAAACAAAAGCCUUACAAAAGAUCAAAUUGCAGCUGCUAAAGGAUCUCUACAGCUACCUACCCUAACUACACUAGCUAGUCCAAACUUGGAGAGUAUUUCCCACACUUUCCACUUAUAUAGCUAGGGUUUACCAUAUUCGUAGGGUUUCAUGACACCCAUGCAGCCACAGCUCACAUGCUACUCACGAGCUGCUUCCAAGAGUAAUAAACGUUAAACAAUAACACGUUUUUAUAAGUAAAACGUGACUUUCUCAAAACGACGUAGUAUCGAAUUUAAAAACAAACCAAAUUUCCCUCCAUAAUCAGCCAUUCAUCACACUCAUUCCCCCUUAUUUCGCCAUGUCUCAUGGUUGAAAGUGUGGAUAUUCUUCAACAUUUCUUCUUCGUCCUCCCAUGUGGCUUCCUCAGUUGGCAGGUGUGCCCACUGCACUAACCAUUGCCCAACAGCCGCGUUCUUUCUCUUCACCUGUCUGUGUUCCAACACCUUCUCGGGCACCAACAUAAUCUGAUUCUUCUCAUCCAGUGGGGGCAAUUCCUCUACCACCCUCUCUGACUUUCCUACCCUUUUCUUCAGUUGUGAAACAUGGAAGAUAGGGUGGAGUUUGGUGUUCUCAGGUAAUUUUAGCUCAUAAGCAACCUCUCCAAUUCUCCUCAGGAUGAGAAAUGGCCCACAAUACUUGGGAGUUAGCUUCCACACUCUACUCUUCCUCAAACUGAGUUGCUUGUAGGGUUUCAGUUUUAGGUAAGCCCACUCCCCUUCUUCAAAAGUUCUCUCACUUCUGUGAGGAUCAACAAAUCUUUUCAUCAUCUCUUGAGCUUGCCUCAACAAUUCCUUCAAUCUUUGUAUAAUGGCUUGGUGCUCCUUGGUCCAAGUCUCCACUCCAACUAUUUUAGGCAUCAGGUGAGGGCCAUACCCCAUCUGAGGGGGUGCAUACCCAUAGAGAGCUUCAAAAGGAGCCCUCUGAAUGUGGAGUGGUAAGUGGUAUUGUACCACCAUUCAAUUAAGGAAAUCCAGUUGCUCCAAUCCUUAGGAUAGUGACCACACAUACACCUCAAGUAUGUCUCUAAGCAUUGGUUCACUCUUUCUAUUUGGCCAUCUGUUUGAGGAUGGUAAGCAGAGCUCAUUUGUUGCUGCACACCCAAGACCUUCAUAAGUUCGUGAAGAUGGGGUCCCUAUCAGAUACAAUUCUAGUAGGGAGCCCAUGCAAUUUAUACACUGUGUUAAUGAAGACUUUAGAUAGCAAAGAAGCUGUAAAGGGGUAACUGAGAGCAACAAAAUGCCUAUAUUUGGUCAAUUUGUCAACAACUACCCAUAUAACCUAUUUCCCUUUGGAAUUUGGCAACCCUACAAUAAAAUCCAUAGAGAUGCAUGUGUGACCAAGCUUGAUCCGGUAUGGGAAGAGGUUGCAGUAGGCCAGGAUUUCUCACAUUUUCAUGUUUGUUGAUCUGGCAAAUGUGGCAUUUCUUAACCACCUCCUCCAGUUGCAGCUUCAUUUGUGGCCGCCAGAAAGUAUUCUGGACCCUCUGUUAAGUGGAUUGAAUCCCUGAGUGCCCACCAAAGCUAGAGUUAUGUAUAAACUCUAUGAUUUUUCUCCUAAAAUCAAGAUUAGUCCCCACAAAUCCUUCCCUUGCAUCUCAGAAUUCCUUCACAAUACUCAAAGAAUGAAAUAUCCAUGGGGCGCAUGGUGCAUUCCACAAUGGUUUCUUCAACUUCUUUGUCAUUCAUGUAACUUUCUACCACUUCCUUCAUCCACAUUGGUUGGAGGAUGGUGACCUGUGCUAACUCUAGAGGCUAUCCCCUCCUUGAAAGUGCAUCUGCAGCUUUAUUUUCUACCCCAUUUUUGUACUCUAUAUUGUAACUGAACCCCAUUGGCUAGAUAUUUGUGUUGCAAGGGAGUAGAUAACUUUUGCUCCAAAAGGUGCUUAAGACUCUUUUGAUCUGUCCUAAUAGUAAAGGUUCCACAAAUCAAAUAGGACCUCCACUUCUGUACUGCUAGAAGGAUGGCUAAGAACUCGUUUUCAUAUAUGGACAAUCUAGCAUUCCUUGGCCCCAAUGCUUUGCUAAGGUAAGAAAUGGGGUGACCCUCUUGCAUAAGAACAACCCCAAUCCCAUGCUGGCAUGCAUCAGUCUCUACCACAAAGCCCUUACUGAAGUUGGGAACCUGCAGCACUCGUGUGUUGAUCAUGGCUUCUUUCAGUGCCUCAAAUGCCUUGUUAGCUUCCUCACUCCAGCAAAAUUGACCUUUCUUGAGUAGUGAUGUCAAAGGCCUAGCAAUGGUCCCAUAUCCUUUGAUAAAUUUCCUAUAAUAUCCUGUCAACCCCAAAAACCCCCUUAAUGCCUUAACUGUCCAUGGAUGUGGCCAUUCCUUAAUACUCUUAAUCUUCUCUUGGUCAACCCCCACUCCAUUUUCAUCAAUCACAUGCCCAAGGUACUCCACUUUCUUCUGAUUGAAGCUGCACUUAGAGGAUUUUGCAUAUAAUUGGUGCUGCCUCAACAGGUCCAUCACUAUCCUCAAGUGGUCCAAGUGCAUGGUUUCAUUUGCACUGUAAACCAAGAUAUCAUAAAAGAAUACUAGAACAAAUUCUCUCAACUGCCUCCUAAAUAUGUCAUUCAUGAGAUACUGGAAAGUUGCAGGGGCAUUAGUGAGUCCAAAUGGCAUAACGUUGAACUCAUAAUGCCCUGUAGAGGUCACAGAGGCAGUUUUUGAGAUAUCCUCAGAUUUGACCCUAAUCUGAUGAUAACCAUGCCCUCAAAUCAAUCUUAGAGAGCACCCUUGCUUUGCCCAAUUCAUACAGAAGAUCAUCAAUGAUGGGGAUAGGGUAGUUAUCCUUGACAGUGAUUGCAUUUAACCUUCUAUAACCCACACAAAACCUCAAACUCCCAUCCUUAUACUUGACUAGGAGGAUUGGGGAAGCAAAUGGGCUGGUGCUAGCUUAAAUUAUUCCAGUUUUCAGCAUCUCUUCGACCAUUCUUUCCACUUCUUUCCUCUGCAUAUAUGGAUAUCUGUAAGGUUGUGCUUUAAAAGGAGUAGCUCCCUCUUUUAAAGUGAUUGGGUGAUCAAUUUUUCUGUUAGGUGGCAAUUCCAUAGGCUCUUGGAAUAGGUCCUUGUACUCCAAUAGAAAUCCUUCUAUAUUAACAGUUUGGUUUUGAUCCAAAGUUUUCUCCUUUUGUUCUCCAUUCAUCAUGAAGAAGCAUCCCAACCCUACUUGCCCCUUUUUAAACAUUUUACUCAACAUUUGGCCAGUGAUCAUGCUGAUAGAGGCUUUCUGUUUAUCAACAUGGAUGGUUGUAUCCUUGAUUCCAUGUCUUAGUGUGAAAAAUUGAUUCACAUGGUCAAAUAACACUGGUCCAAAUUUCUGCAUGAAGUCCACUCCAAUCACUGCAUCACAUCCUCCCAGCUUGAGCAGUCUCAUUUCAAAUAUAAAGUGAUGCUUCCCCAUUUCCCACUGAAAUGUUGGGCAUUUAGAAUUACAAUCCAUUUGAUUCCCAUUGUCCAUAGUGACUAACAAAUUGCUGGUCUAUAUCACUUCACAUCCUAGUUUCCUUGUUGUCUGAGGAUCAAGAAAUUGUGAGUGCUCCAUAUGUCAAGAAGCAUUGUCAAGUAAUUGUUCUUGACCUUGCCUUCAACCUUCAAUGUGUUGGUAGUAGAUUGUCCAGUUAAUGCAGUAACAGAGAUGCCGAGAGUCUCUUCUUCCACCCCUUCUGGCACUUCCUCCAAUUGUUCCAAGCCCUUUCAUUCCUCUGACUCUUCUUCAAUUCCCACAAUGGUGAACACAUUAUUACACAUAUGCCCUGGAACAGACCUCUCAUCACAGUUGAAGAAUAAACCUCUCAUGUUUUAGUCUUCCAUCUCUGGUUUAGACAACAUUCUUAUGAUGUUUCCUUUGUGAUUGUGGUUAGAUGUGUUCCAAUUUCUGUUAGGACCACCUUGGUGAGUCUCCUUUCCCCCCUAUUGGCCAGGUUUGUAGCUUGCUUGAUAGUGUUUCUCAGCCCCAUUUUGAGAUGAUCCAAGGUGUUUUCAUACAUUUUAGCUAUCUGUAUAGCUUGUGCCAGAGACAUAGGUUUUGAGAGCUUUUACCAAACUCUUCAGUUCAUCCUUCACUCCUCCCAAAAAGGCUCUAAUAUAGUAGUCUUCCCCCAGAUUCCUAUGAUUCUGAGCCAUAAAAUCCUUGAGCUCUUCAACUUGUGCCUGAUAUCCUCUAUACUCCCAUCUUGCCUCAGUUUAUGGAACUGCUCCACCACAUCUACUCCAUCUUUAUCCAUAAAUCUCAUAAACCAUAUUGGAGAAUACAUUCCACCCCACAAACUCCAUUCCUUCCACAUAAUCCAUGUACCAAUACUCAGCCUUGCCCUCCAAAUUCAUAGCAACCAUCAUUACCCUCUCCACACAUGACAUAGGGUUUAGGACAAAGUAUCUGUUGCACCUCCUUAUCCAAGUUAUGGGGUCUUCUGCAUUGAAUCUGGGAAACUCACCCCUCUGUUGCCUUGUGUUGUUGCAGAUCUGCAUCUCUUGCCCUCUCUGCCCCAUGUUCUCAACUUCAAUUGGAUUUCUUCUAUUGUUGCCUUCAGCACAUCUGUCUGGUGUAUAGCCAGGCAUAAAAUGAUCUUGGUGAGGUGUGUAGAGUCUGUCAGUUUGGGAUGACUGUCCUACAACAUAGAACUGUUCUUUUCCUUUGUAAUUCUUGGUCAUAUCUUCCAGUAGCUUCUUUACUUGCUCCACAUUGAAGUUCAUAUUGGUCAUUUAUUCCUUUAAAGUCCUCAUGUCAGCUUGGUGUCUGGUAUCUAUCUCUCUUUGCUCCUCCUUGAACUGAUAUAGUGGUUUGUUGCAAUGGAUCCGUAGUUUCAUUCAUGUUUUUACUCAUUUUUAUGUGCCAGUGUGCCAGUGAAGUGGUUUAUGGUGCUGUGUUUAGUGAAUAUGAGGUGGGAUGUUCUUGAGGGAUAGUGAACAAGUGUUGUCCAGAACCAUGCUCUAGAUACCAAAUGUCAUAGACUAGCUUUUAACAUAAAAGAAUUCGAAAACAGAAAAAAAGGGAUAUUUGAUUCCAAGCUCCAAAAGUGAGCUGUAAGUUCAUACAGGAAAGGAAACCAUAGAUAAAAUCCUUACAAAAGAUCAAAUUGCAGCUGCUAAAGGAUCUCUACAGCUACCUACCCUAACAACACUAGCUAGUCCAAACUUGGAGAGUAUUUCCUCCACUUUCCACUUAUAUAGAUAGGGUUUACCAUAUUCGUAGGGUUUCAUGACAGGUUGAAUAUGGGAUUUAAUAUAGACUUGGAUUUCGUUUUUGGUCAGUAAUAGGACUAGACCUUGACUUUGUUGAUUAUUUUUUGUGCCUUGCUGUUGUUGGUUGUAAUACCUACACGCAAGUGCACGUAUCGUACAAGUAAUAUAAUGGAUCUUUAAGUCUAACUAUCGAUCCGAGAGAGAAUAUUUAAUUAUCUAAUCUAACAAUUAUUAUCAAGCCCACCCUACACAGUCGAAUGUCAAUUAACAAUUAAACUAAAUUAAAUUAAAACAAAUUAAACAAGCAAGAGCAAGAAAGCAAUUAAACACGAAGAUUAAUAAGAGAAAGCAAGCCUAGGAUUUUAUUUUUCCCUCUACGUGAUUAUUAAUUCCCCAAUUCCUUCAAUUAUGCAAGCUAUGAAAUCAGGUUACUAACAUGAGAUGCUAAAUUAAUCAUAACCCGCUUCCACGUGAAUUACGAUUCUAAUACUCUAAAUUCAAUUAUUGUAUUCCUACGCAAUUUAUUCUAGAACACAACAUGAAGCACAAAUCUCAAUAAUGGCUACCUAAGAGAUUAACUAUAUUCAUGUGUUAAUACCACAAAUGCUCUUCUACCUAAGUUCCAAUUAUUAACCCGAUCUUCUGAUUCAUGCGAUUAACAAUAACGGAAAAGCACAUAAAGUGGCCAGUUUCAUGCACUUAGUAAAACAAGUCGAAGAAAUAAUCCGGAAUUUAAAUUUGCAUAAAAUCAUGGAAAAGGAUUCAUAAAUCCCACAUAGGGUUAAAAAUAAAAUCCUAGAAAUACAAGGUUUAGCUACUCAUGAUUCAAGUAAAAAUGAAAUUAUGAUAAUUUAUGAAAGAUAAAACUAUGCUUGAACUUUUAGAAUUCUUCGUCUUCGUUAUUGCUUCUUUGCUCAUGAAAUUGUGUAAAAAAAAGGACCCCUAAUUGAGUGCUUGAGAUGGCUUUUAUAAGGUGGAAAAAAUUUGGGAAAAUGCAGUUUCCUUGUAACUUUUGGAAGUUUCUUUACUGCGCAGUCUUUCCUUGUCGGACGUUUGACUUCUCCAAUUUUGUUCACCUUUUCUUCUAAAUUGUGGUUUUAACCCACAACUUAUGCAAUUCUUCAAGUUGUGCCUGAAACACAAUGAAUCAAUUAAGCACCGAUUAUCAAUUAAAUACACUAAGAGCUCAAAUUAAAAGAUAUGAUUAAGUAUAAAAAUAUACACUUAACACCUGCCACAUAAUCAUCCAAAUAAUUUGGCGACGCCCUUGUUGCCUUGUACGUCUCAGUUAUAUUAGAAAACUGCCGAAAGUCUUACAUGGGCUCCGUGUCGUCUUGUAUUUACGCAGUCCCUUCCAUUUGAUAAAUUUUUGUGCGUUCAAUUGCAUACCUCGUCGUUGGCACUAACUAUAAAAAAAUUUACAAUUUUGUUCUUUUUUACAUUUCAACUAAUUUUAUUUCUCCAUUUAGUGAUGAUCACUAAUCCUUGAACUGUUACUUUAUUAUUAAUGUGAAAUCUAAAUACUAGUACAUCAACAACUUAUGAAGUAUAAGAAAAUAAAAUAAAAUUUGAAAUUAAGAGUAAUUUAUAUAAUAUAAUAUCGUAAAGUAAUAAAAUGUCAGUAAAUCAGAGUGGCGCAGUAGAAGAGUGGUGGGCCCAUAACCUACAGGUCCACGGAUCGAAACCAUGCUCUGAUAUAGGAGUGGCUUCUCGGUGAUUCAAUUUUGUUUUGCAUUCAUGAUUAUUUAAAUAAUAAUGGCUGGUGUAAUUUUUUUCCCAACAUGGGGAUAGAGCUCAAUUGGUAGAGCACUCGCUUUUCAUGCGAGAGGCAUGGGGUUCGAUCCCUUGCAUCUCCACCCGUAAAUAAUUCUUUAUUUUCUCCAUUAAUUUAAUAUUUAUUUUCUUUUUAAUGAUCUACAAUUGCAAUUCACAUUUUGAACCCCAUCAUCUUAACUUUUAAGCCACACAAUCACCAUGUCGAAGCUCAUCGCGUCUCUAAUCUCCUACACCUCCGCCCCGUCUUCCACCGCUCAGCCGUCUCCUUAUACCCACUAUUGGGGAUCUACAUGCAUAUGCAGCACAAGUUUAAAAAUAAUCUAUCAUGCUAUUUUUACGAACAACAAAUUUGUCAAUAUAGGCGUAAUCAAUUAGCAUGCUUAGAUAAUAUGUUCAAAUUAAAUUGAAAAAUAUAUGGCAUGUGAAUCAUAUAAUCAAAAAAAAUUAAUUCAUAUUUAAAUAACAAUAUUUGAUUACUUACUCAAUGAAAUUAAGUUCCUUAGAACGUUGUUUCAGUGGUCUCACCGAAUUCCUUAGUCGAGCAAUUCCACGCCAAUCUUUUUGCCUAUAAUUAGAUUUCACCUUGAAGAAAUUUAUCCACCAAUAGAUUGCACUAGAAAACUAUUGGGUAAAUUGGUAUAGGAAACAAAAGAUGAAAAAUGAGGGAAAGAAGAACAAUCGCGGCGGCGCAUGGUGGCGGGCCGACGGCGGCGAAAAGGAGAGGGGUAGGGGUGGCCAAAGAGAAGAGAUAGAGCAGAGCUUGUUCUCUUGUUGUGUGUGUUUAUCUCAACCCUAAGCCUCUUAUUUAUAGAUUUAUUUGACUUUAAGGUCAAGUCUCCUGCUUAACCUAAAAUUCAAAUAGCUCAAGCCCAUUACGAAUAUUCUAGAACUCAUUCUUAGAUUUAUAAUUACUCUUAUACCACAACUUUGAAAAAUAUAACAGUUAUAUAUUCUUGAAGAAUAUAAUCUUCUCGUCAUUUCGAUUACCAUAUUACAUUUUGUUGAUUUAUAUGCCUAUAGAAAUCAAUUAACCUAAGUUGUAACAACUAAGUAGUGGGAAUAGUAUUCAGUUACAACUAUAAUUCUUGUGUUAACACAGUUAUAAACUACUGAAAGCAAAUAAAUGAACACAAGAAAUUAAUGUGGUUCAGAUACAAAUGUGUCCUACAUCCACAUGGACCUGCAAACACGAUUUCACUAGUUCAGAUUUACAGUGUACAUUAAUAGGACUUAUUAAAAAUAAUAAAGACUCCCUCUUUUAUUUUUACGCCAUUCUGGUACACAACUCGAACUCCGUGUCUCUCUCUAUGGCAGCUCCACUCCGCGUGCCUUCAACUUUUUUCAAGCCUGAAUUUCCUUCAGAAACGUGGUUGAUCUCCCUGGAGAUCUAUACAACAACUCUAUAUUUGUUGGCACACACAACGAUGACACAUUCCUUCUCUGCAAAAUGCCUUAGCAAACCUUUGAUGCUAUGCAUUGGUUUUUCUUCCGAUAAAUGCGCAAAUUUUUUCAGCAUCUUGAGAGGCUUGUAUAGCCACGAAAAUAACCUCUAAGCCCUUACUUGAACCUAAAGAAAUCGAUUUCACUAGGUAAUAGAAUCCUAGUCAAUUUCUACUUCUAUUCUAGAUAAAUACAAGAGAUACCUAACUAGAAUAUAAUACAUAGAAAUAAAUCUAUAUCCUAAUAAAAGUAUUAUAAGAAUAGGACUCUAAUAAAUUCCAAAAAAAAAAAACCAUGGAAACUAAUCUUUGCCAAUCUUUUGAUUCCAAAGUAUGGCGGAUUUCUUCAAUCUUCACUAACAGAAAUCCGGCGCCAACAAUCUUUCCCUUUGGCAUAGAUUGGUCAGAAUCCAUGUUUAACAAUAACUCCCUCUGCAGACAUAACUAACUCCCCCCCCCCCCCUCCGCAUCACAGAUUGUCAGCAUAAUAAAAGUUGCAACAUGUUCAUGUUGUAACACAUCAAUGCCCUGCAACGCAAAGUUAUUCAAAAUAAGCCCCAAGGCACAUAUAUAGAAAUAACCAAGCCAAUAUCCAAAAGACUGGAAAAUAUUCCUAAUUAGAACAGUCCUAAAUAAAAAUAUAAAUUAAGGCAACCCAGAAAUGACAAACAAAAAACAAAAAAAAUGUUUUUUCAUGAAAUGUUCCUUUAAUAAUCAUAGUCGGAAAGCAGAUCCUGAUCAUGAGAACUGUUGGAGGCUUUGCCUUGUCACUGCGGUUGUGGACUACUGCUUCUUCAUAGAAGUUUUUCCCUUGCGUAUGGCAGUUUUUGCUGGGGCAUCUGGAGUUGUUGCUACUCCCCCUUUCUGACCAUAUUGUGCCAAAGUUGCAAAUUGUUCAUGCAUGGCUAGGAGAACAACUAUAAUGCUCACUCCGCGAUAGAGGAAACAUGAGUGUGCUUAGAAACAAAUUGGUGACCAUUCGAAGAGGAUGACUCAUCCUUAAGAAUAUACUUGCUCUCAAACUACCUUUGAGGUCGGCAAAGCUGCACAGGUGCGCUGAAAAUAGCCUCUUCAUCAAUUUCAACCAUAAUAUUGUCCACGGAAUCAUAGACAACACUUUAUUUUGAGUUUGGGGCUGGUGACUGAAUAGUGUGGCCGUGGGCUCCGGAUUUGUGGCCACGGGAGAGAUGGGAACUUCAAAGAGUACUAUUCUUGUCACAAACUUUGACAUUUUGCCAGAUUUCUUAUCGGACGGCGAUGCAGAGUGGUUUGUGCUUCCUCAUUUUUGACCCCUCAACCGAUUUGUCUCUUGCCAUAGUGAACCCGUGGAGCACGGAAAAGUGAAAAAUUAAGUAGCUUUCGAAAAACAUAGAGAGAGAUUGAGAGAUAACAUGAGUAGAUGAAAUAUUGAGAAACGCUAAGAACUCUAAAUACGAGUAUUUAAUGCACAACUUUUUGAACAAAAAUGGGACUUGUCAAGUUAACGAAAGAUAUAUUCAAAUAUGUUGACAGGAUAGAAUCAGAUCCCACAAACAUCAUGAUAAAACAGAAGUAUAUUCACACACGGUUCACAGGGAUUCGAUAUAGAUCACGUGUCAAGGCGGCCACGUGUCAACAGUUAGCCAGAGGCCAUAAUAAACUCAGAAACCCUAAAUCUCCAGAGAUUUGAAAAAUAAAUGGAAUAUGUGUAUAUAUAUAGGGAUAUUGCAGCAGUAUGUAAAAUCCAAGGUUUACAAGGAAAGAAAAUCAAGGAGGUCACAAGAGCAAAAAAGUAGAUCCCUUGUUUUCAAGAAUUAACCAAAAUAACUUAGAGCAAGACACGAUAGAAGUCCACCAACAUGCUCUUAGAUGCACGAUAUACCUAGAGCCCCAUGACCAUACUCAAUUAAUCAUAAAUAACUUAUUUUAAUGGGGCUAUAAAUGCAUAUGAGAUUAGCACAGCAAUUCCAUCGUGAACUUCAAGAAGAAUUUACUAAUAAAUACCUAAAAAACAUCCUAAAGAAUCACACCCUUGUUUUCUUCUGCUUUUCCUCUUUAUUUUUUAAUAUGUCAAAAUCCGUAGAUUUGGCAGACAAAUGGUCCUUUUUUUUCUUUGUGUGAUUUUAUGACAUGAAGUUCCACCAAAUAUUACGAGGGCAACCUGUUGGGAAUCGGACACAUGUAUGCAGUGGAAAACAAAAUUUUUAUGCGAUUUAAACAAAUUGAAAACACAUAAACACAUGCCCGAUAAUUGAAAACAAUUAAUUGCGGAUUGUGCUUCCAGCGAAAUUAAAAAACAACAUACAUGCUUAAUUACUUAAUCGAAAUUAAAUCAAUUAGCAUGCUUGUGUUAAAUCAAAUAACAUGCUCGCAGUAAAUAAACAAUUUCAUGUAGUCACAUAAAACCAUACAAUCACAUUACUAAAACGAACAUGUAUGUAUUAAUUUAAACGUAACCGAAUCGAAUGACAAUAUAUUCGACACAUUACCUCAUGAAGCGUGAAGUAGGCGCACUAAGCAAAGCUAGAUUGCCACGGAAACCAAUCUGUGCAAUCCGGGGCAGCAACGGCGAAUCAGCAGCGGCAAUAAUCCGAGCUACAGCGGUGCGUGUGAUUCACGCGCUGUCUUCGGGCGGCGCGUGGAGGCGCAUGCGUCGUCGGCUCGGGGCUGCUCCUCGAUUCUUCGAUCUUCCUCAUCUUGGAUUUCACCUCGUAUACUUCGAUCUACUAAAUACGUGGCACUAUACAAGUAAUAGUUAGAAAAACGGAAGAAUAGAAAGAAGGAAAGAAUUACCAAAAGGGAUCGGCCAAGGGGUGGCCGAUUCCGGCGAGUUGGUGGCGGCGACGCCGGUGGUGGCCGCGGGAGAAGAUGGCCGAGAGAGAGAGAGCGAGCAGCUAGGGUUAGGGUUUCGUGUGUUGUAUGUGUGCAAGACCUAUAAAUCAAGUAUUUAUAGUGUCUUGCAUAAAAGCCUUAACGGGCUAAAGUUGGACCGGGCCCAACAGCUUAAGUUCGUUAGUCUUUUAUUCGCUCGUUUUCUCAAUUCAAUGAUCGGAAAGUUGUAACGAUUACAUUUUCGGAAUCAUUAUAAUUCCCUCGUCAUUACGAGUGCCAACUCUCGAUUUCCAACUUUCCAAAAGUGGAAACCCUAAUUCAGUGCACUUUCUAAAUUUGGAAACUUCCCGAUUUUGUAAGUCCACUAAGAUGUUCGCCUAUUCUUUUCCUUUUUCUUAUUCUCAUUCAUAAUUCCAAAUUACGAAUGUUGGACCUAAUCAUAUUGACUUCCAAUCAUGCAAAGAUAAACCAUUUUAUCUCUGACCGUUUAUUCAAAGAUCUCAUGUGCACGAGCAGUGUGACCCUCGAUGGUUCAGGUGUAAGCUAGCCGUGGACCCACAACCCUUUUUGGUCAAAACUCGUCCCUUAGAGUUACGAUUAAGAUGAUGCUCGUUUCACCUUAAUCACCCAAUGAAUCAACAUUGGCGUCUAGCAACUACGCGUCCUGAUUACCUACCGCAUGGUAAGGGAAAGAGUUAUACAACUUACUUUAUACAGGUAAAAAGUAACUAAUAGGAUAAUGUAUAUAUAUUAAGGCUACCCGAGUAGCUGUCUAAUUCAAAUAACUAACGAAGUGAUUUCUAUUUUUUUUUUGUAUAUUCAUAUGUUAUUUGGACCCUCGAUUCGAUUCUCUUGCCGUAUGUGGUGUUGGCAAAGAGUUGGCAGUUAAUGAUACAAUAUCUUCAUUGUACAACUUGGAGCUGGGAAUCAAUGAUUGUCUCCAAAGUUUGAUCACUAUAAUUCCGGCAUAAAUGUUUGACCACAACCUUUUUGGAGAUGUAAACAAAUAAGUUGUAAAAAAGAUAUUAUUUUCGUAAUUAAUUUUACCAACAUUGCCGAUUAACAUUCUUGUUCAUUGUUUCGAGAGAUGGGAGACCAAACACAAUAUAAGUAGCCUGGACAUAUAUGACAGUACUGGACAUUAAUUCUCUAAGGUAAAAAACAUCGGUCAUGUAAUGAUAUAUGUACUCUGAAAUAAUAUUUACAGCUUUAAAAUACCAUGUUAAGGUAUCUGAUGUCUUGCCCCUUAUAUUUGAUCUUGUGAUGGAAUUAUAAACUUUAGGGUAAAUUACACACACCCCCCUGAGGUAAGCUUAAAUAACUGUAAGGUCCCUGUGGUAUCGAUAAUUACAUUCACCCCCCUGAAAGGUAGUUAAAAACUCUAACGGGAUAAUGCAUUGUAUACAUUAUUCCAAUAGGGUUCUAAUGGACUAUUACUUUUAGCUAGUUGUGGAGAUAACAUAGAGUUAUGGGGAGUUAUGGGGUGACAUGGCUCCCCCAAUAUUUUUUAAAUCACUCAUAACUCUUAGUUGUCUUCACCACUUCCUGAAACCA